This 45458-nucleotide long non-coding RNA is filed under the name Daucus carota (carrot). RNAcentral's name for it is "long non-coding RNA (DCAR_LNC000019)". Lineage: Eukaryota; Viridiplantae; Streptophyta; Magnoliopsida; Apiales; Apiaceae. The record is from RNAcentral.
UUAAUAUUUAUAUCUAGCUCAAAAUAACUGCUUUACACCACAGUUGCAACAUCAUCCCCACAAGCACUAUGUAUAAUAAGCAGUACCAUCUAUAGCUGCAAACAGAAGCAUGACAAGUCACAGCAGCAAAAUAGAUCCAUCAGCGAAGAAUAUAUCAUAUCAACAAACUUUUUUCAGUAUGUUCAGUGAUUUUUUUAAUCUGGUUAUCAUGUUCAAUGAAUUCAGAAUCAACAAGAUUCAUGAAAACAGACAUCCAAGUCUUGUCAACUAAAACACAGAUCACUUUCUCCCGUCUGCAGUAAUAAUCUAGUUUACAGUCCCAUUAAUAUAAUUAAAGUUUAUAUAAAAUUCAACAUUUUGCUUCUGAUGUUAUAAGGCACUAUAAAGAAUCAGUUAUGUGCAUUUAUAAUUUGUAUCGAAUUUGAUGUCAGGGCUGAAGCUGAGUCUUUUUAGCAUAAGUUAAGAACAACAAUCAAGAGAAUUUGUGAAACUACAAUAUUAAAACUUAAUGUAUGAAGAACAGCCAUAUCCUUCCCAAGAAACUAUUUAGUGUGACAAAUGAAAAUAAAUAAAUUAAUUAAUUAAAAUAACAACUAUUAUAUAGAAUGAAAGACGAUAUAGUAUUCCGCCUCACUACGCAAAUUGCAGAUUUACUAAACAAGUGUCUGUCAGAUGUACCAAAGAGGAGGGGAGACAGGAUGGUAUGAUUUUCCUUGAAAAUGAGGUUCAAUUGUGUGAUGUUCCAUGCUGAAAAUCCCCAUAUCAUGCCCGCCUCCUUCAUGGUAGUAGGGUUCCUUGUUGUCGUCCGUAAAAUAGAUACAGUUUGGCUUCAUGAUUUCUGACGAUGAUACAGCCGUGGAUGAAGCAUUGCCAACAAAUAUUGACUCCUUUCCCAAUUCUUUCUCUUGUUUCAAAGAACAUGUAAUAUCUUUAAGAGAAUCAGAAUAUUUCAAAUCCAACCUCCACACGGAGAAAUGAGUAGUGCGGUACUUGAGCCGCAAUUCCUUACGGUAGCGCACAAGUAGCAGAAGACCAGAUCCUGAUGUUGGUUCAACUAAGUACUUCUUUUCCCAAUCUUUACUUUCAAGCCAUGCAAUUUCUCUUCCCCUGAUGUGUCGUCCCUCUUCAUCACCAUCACAACCACACACAAAUAUAUUCCCAUGGCAGUUUACUGCAUAAACAUUUCCUUUGUGGUAAACAAUAUCACUGAAGUUGAACGCUGGAACGCACACAUCUGUCCAAACUUUGUCUCCCAAUCUAGCAAACCCUAAUUUAUAAUAGUCCCCAUAUAUAGCCAUUACAUAUGGUGAAGGGCAAGCAUGGCGAGGAUAUAAUCCGAAAGCUGAAUUUACGUUGAGUACACUGGAAUAUACAACAACUUUUGAAAUAAACAUGUCGGAGUAAUUUUCAGGCCCGUAGUCUUCAUCGUAGGGCAUUUGCAGAGGAAAGGUAAGCAUGGGUGGAAGCAAGAUUUGGUAGUUUAAGAGAGGAUGCAAAAGGUUCAUUUGCAGAUCCCUGCCUAGAGUUACUAGCCACCCUUUAUUGGUCCCCACUAUUAGUCUUCCAGCAGCUUCCGGCAAAUCAAUAUAGUAUGUUUUUCCCGUCAAAAGACUGUAGAAACCACGACGACUACCGACUGAAAUUUUAUUAUGAUCAUAUUUAAAUGCCUUCGUAUAAUCUAUCUUGUCAUUGUCUUCAUCAUCACCACUAUUGUCUUCUUCGUGAUUCUCAUCACCAUUGUCACUACCAUCCUCAUCAUCACUGCUAUCUUCUUCUUCAUCAUCACCACCACUAACAUCAUUGUCGCCUUCAUCAUCACCACUAUCAUUGUCCUCAUCAUUAUUAUCUUCUACUUCACUAUAAUCUUGACUAGGGUCAUAUUCAAGCAUAGCUCCUGGAGCAACAUCUUCCGCAAGAAGAAGGAACGGAUAUUCGGUGAGAGGCAGACAUGGCUUCUUGAAGUUACUAAGUGAAUCCCUCCAUGAUCUGCAGACAGCAAUGAAUCUGUAAUAGUCACGGAGAUAACUAAACUUCCCCACUAUAACCUCAAGAAUAUCAGGGGGAAGAUUACUCCAAUAAUCAUAAUCGUCACCAUAAUCUUCUUUUUGUACAACGUCACUAGGUAAACAAUCACCAAGCAAAAGAAAGCUUUGCGCAAUAAAGCUACAACCUUGAUCCAUAUCCUGUCACAUACAUAUAUAAAAAAAAAAUCAGUUUUUUUAAGUCGCAAGUAAAGUGUGAGUAAAGACUAAAAAGAGGUAUCAAGAAUAUAACAAUAUUAAUUCUGAACUGAAAGAUAAUUUCCCCGCAAUAAUAUCAAGAAUGUUAUCAUCUCCACUGCCUUGUUUUUAGACAACAUGACUAUUAGUCUUUGUUAGAUUCAGAGUCACAAUCACCAAGGAGAGCUCCAAUAACAACAUCUAAAUUAGGAGUAUAUAAAUUGCAAACAUAACUUAAACAAUCACCAACCAUACAAAAGCUUUGCACAAAUAAUAAAGAAGUCCGAUUAAUCCAAAAAACAUAAAAUAUCUAAACAGAAUCUUGUUUGAGAUCCGUGGAAAAACAUAAGAGAAUUUACUGAGAGAGAUGAUUUACCUUUUAGUAGAAAAUCCGUUCUUACGAUUUAAAUCUCUGCAGGUAUCCACACUAACACCUUAAGUUCAACGAUCGAUGAAGGAGGUACUACCGUACUAGCCACCAAAAAAUCUCUUUCUCUUCCUGAUCUCUCUCUUAUCUCUGAAAACAAAUUUCCUCGACUCUAUCAAAACAUAUGUACGACGAAAAGAUAAAAAUCCGAACACUAAUCUGACUAGUAAUCCAUUAGUCUUACGUGGUGUUUUGCCGACAGAUUAUAAUAUUCGAUUCUGAAUUUAUAAGUCAGAAACAUUUAUUUAUAUCGAUGAUUUCAAAAAAUUAACAAAUUUUUAUAUAAUAAUUAUUUUGAUUUUAUGAUAAUUAUGUUACAUAUGAUAAUAUUAAUAAAUUAUUACUACACUUUAAUGAUUAAAUAACAAAUUUUAGUUGAAUCAAAUAUAAUCAUCAAUAUAAGUGUUCUGCAUAAUAAUCUAUGUAAUAUUUAUUAUAAACAACUUAAUGUUAUUUUGAGCUAAUUUAUUUCUAAUUUUGUUUUUGCGUAUUUAAUCCGAAAUUAAUUGGACAAAGAAAACUUACAAAUAAUUUGAUCUAAAAUAAAAUCGAAAUAUGUAGGAAUAAAAUAAAGAGGGGCAUCUAUCACGAUUUUGACUGCCACACGCGUGUCCCAGUAUUCUAUCAAUUAAACGCGUGUCACUUUAAAAAGUGUUUGAAAUUAUAUCAAUUAGCCAGUAUCGGUUGUAAAGUUUUGCAAAAAUGAGUGCCCUUGUAACCGGUACUAAUAUUAGUCUGAUGUGCUCUAACCAACCAAAUUGAUUAUACUAUAUGAUCGAAAAUCGACUAUACUAUAACUGAAAUUUAUACUCCCUCCGUCCCCCUGAGUUGUAUACAUUGGGGGACGGGGACGCGGCACGGACUUUAAUGCUCCUGUAAAGUGUAGUUGUGUAAUUUAUUUUUAAAAUUUUCUUUUUCUGAAUUAAAGUUUGGAUGUUAUAUUUUUAUUCAGAAAAAGAAAAUCUCAAAAAUAAGUUACGGAACUAUAUUUUAUAAGAGCAUUGAAAUGCGUGUCGAGCAGUUGAAAAGAAACGUAUACAAUUAAAUGGGACAGAGGGAGUAUGUAUCAUAUAAUUAAAAAUAAAAUAAAAUUAUAUCAUUUGAAAGUAUAUUUAAUCUAUUUUAAUAUUUAAUGUUCACAUUUUAAAAAUAAUAUGUACUCCUUCCGUCCUUCUAGAUUCUAUACGUUCACUAAUAUAUUAUUCCUAAUUUUGUUUAUGCAUAUUUAUCGCACUAUUAAUUGGACAAUGAAACACAAAUAAUUUGAUCUAAGAUAUAAAAUCGAAAUAUGUAGGAAUUAAUUAGCAAGAAAGAUAUUAAAAAUAGAGGUAAUUGCAUAUCGCACCCCCUAAGUAUCGUUCAAAAACGAUAGAGUACUGAUACUUUAAGAAACUCAACUCGCAUCCCUUAUCUUUACUUCUCAAAACCGAUAUGCACCCCCUGCCGUUAACUUCCGUUAACUCAGUGCACUCCGUUAAGUCAGUAUAUAUAUAAUUGCAAUUCGGACCCCCUAACUUACGUUCAAAAACGAUAUUGUAUCCAUAUUUUUGAAAACUCGAAAUAUAGNNNNNNNNNNNNNNNNNNNNNNNNNNCAAAAAGUAAAUCUCUAAUCCAUUUUAAUAUGUUACUUUCUAUUUCCUAAAAUAAUAAAUAAAUAUUUUUUAAUAGUUGGUCAAAAAUUAGUCAAUUUGACAAGGGACAUGUAAAUUGAGACGGAGGAGUAUUUUAACGCAAGGUAACGGAAUUCAACGGAGGAGGUGCGUAUCGUUGUAAAGAUAGGUGGUGAGAUUUGGGUUUCCAAAAGUACAGGUAUAAUAUCGUUUUUGAACGUAAGUUAGGUAUAAUGUGCUUUUUAUAUAAGCCUCUUGUCGUUUAAUCAAAAAGUAAAUCUAGCCUAUUUUAAUAGAGGUAAAUAGUAGGGGGUCCGAAUUGCAAUUAUCUCUAUUAUUUGUGAAAUUCGGACCCUCUAUUAUUUGCGAAAACAAAUAGACUAGAUUUACUUUUUGAUGAUAUUUUUUUUUUAAAUUUUUGUUUAAUUAAGUUAUCCCCAAGUCAAAAUGAUUUUACAUAUUGAAUGAUUUUAAAUUUUUAGUGACAUGUGUAUUAGGUAUUUAAUAUACACUAUUUUAAAUAUAAAAAAUAAAUAUCAUGUGAUAUUUAUUAUAAAUAUUACAUAAAUUUAUCUAUUGAUUAAAAUAUAUAAAUUUUAAUUAUUUUGUUUGGAAAAAUUGAUCAAAAAAAUAUCAUCAAAAAUUAAAUCUAGUCUAUUUUAAUAUGUAACUUUCUAUUUUCUAAAAUAAUAAAUACAUAUUUUCAAAUAGUUAGUAAAAAAUUAGUCAAUUUAACUCCUCAAAAAGCAAAAGGGACAUGUGAAUUGAGACGGGGGAGAAUUUUAACGAAGGUAGCGGAAUUUAACGGAGGGGGUGCGUAUCGUUCCUGAGAUGUAAAAAUAGGUGGUGCGAUUCGAGUUUUCAAAAAUAUGGAUACCAUAUCGUUUUUGAACGUAAGUUAGGGGGUCCGAAUUGCAAUUAUAUAUAUACUGACUUAACGGAGUGCACUGAGUUAACGGAAGUUAACGGCAGGGGGUGCAUCUCGGUUUUGAGAAGUAAAGAUAAGGGGUGCGAGUUGAGUUUCUUAAAGUAUCGGUACUCUAUCGUUUUUGAACGAUACUUAGGGGGUGCGAUAUGCAAUUACCUCUUAAAAAUAUGUAGGAAUAAAUAAAAAGGUGCAUCUAUCACGGCUUAGGUAGCCACACGUGUGUCGGUCCCAGCAUUCUGACUAGCUUCCAGCGGUGACCUCAUUGGACUGGCAAAUGGGGACCACUUCCCCUCUAAACUCCGAAUCUUACUAUUCUGGUUCAGGUAAAGCUUUUACUGACAAACAUAACUAGUCCGUAACUAAUACAAACGUUCACAAAAACAAACAACAUUUUCAAAUUUUAUUUUAAAUAGUUUAUAUGUGCUUAUACACAAGUUUUUAAUUCUAUUUUUCCUUUAACUUUUCUUUUUAAAUUUUUGGAAUUUCACUUUUGUGUAAAUGUUCUAUAUUUAAUUUUAAAAAUAAACCACUAAAUUAUUAACAUGUUACUACUAAAUCAUAAAAAAACAAAAAUUUUAUGAGAUAUAAAAAAUUUACAUUAUUAUUUAGAGCCAUAAUUAUACGUAGCACUAAAAUUUAAUGUAUUUUUCAACGUGAAUAUGAGUUACUCUUUUUCAGUUGGAUGGGAUCUAAUCAUUUUAUUUUCAAAUAAUUUUUAAUAUGUAAGGUAUACCAAUGUGUUGCUAAAAUCUUUAAUAAAUAUAUAUAUAUAAUAACUUAAAGAAAUAUCAAGAAAAUAAAAAAAUGUAAGUAGAACUUGGUUAAAGAAAAAGCCAAGUACGAUUUUGUUCAAACGAACUAGCUCAUUUCAUUAAUUAAGGUCUAGCUGACGGAAAAAUCAAGUAAAAAUAUGUAUUUGAUCAAAUUCUAGUAAAAAUUUAUGUCCAAAGAGAUUAUUUAUCAUAUUUCAAAAUUACUAAUUCAAAAGAUGAGAGAGGAAGCUAUUAUGAUAGUUCUUAAAUUUAUGGACAUAGUUUUAUUAUUUAAAAAUGAUGUCAAUUAGCUAUAUUUAUGCAAAUAACACUAAAUUAUAUUAUCAAGUUCAAAGUCACAUCAAAUAAUAAUAAUUUAAAAUAUUUUUUAAAUUAUCACUAACAAAAUUAUCUAACCGCAAUUUAUUUUAAUAUUAAGUAAACUUAGCAGAAAUUAUAAAUUUAUAAUAGCAAAUACACAUUGGCGAAAACAGAAAAUAUUUUUACAAUUAUAUUAUACUAGCUUUUCUUGCCCGCGCUCCGCGCACGGGUGUCUUGAUAUUGUAGUUGGUUUUUUGUGGCGUAGUAAAAUAAUUUUUGUGAUUAAGAAUAGAAAAUUAAACUAUCAAAUAAUCCCAAAUGAAGAAUAAAAUUAAAAAAUAUAUAUAUAAUCCAAAAUAAACAUAGUCCGGAUGAUAACCUCAUAAUCUAUAAAGAAUUUGAGCAUAAUUUCAAAUACUUAUUAUAUUAUUAUUUCACAAAAAUCUAAAUAUUGUAGUACGAUUAUUCAGCAUUCUUGGAGAUGUUAUAAUCCGAGAUCUGGAAGCUAUACAUAUCCAUCACGAUCAAGCCUGGAACAAUAUAAAAAAUUUAUAAAUUAUUCUCAUAUUAUUUUGAUAUGAAAUAUAUAAUUAUACGAUUCUGUGUGAAUAAAUGAGCAAAUUAAAUAAAUAACUAUGUCUCAUGCUAUAUACCGCACUCAAAUUUAAAUUAACAUCAACUUUUGAUAUCGCUGUGUUGAUAAAACUGAUAUUUCUUGUAGUUGUAUAGAUUGUCACCAAACAUGUUUCAGAAUUAAAUAUAUUUAGAUGUGUAUAUGAUUGUGACGAAUGCAAAUUAUGAUCCAACCUUCACACAUUUGAACCUUCAUACUUGCUAGAACCAAGAUCACCGCCGUUUCUAAAUCGUCUUGAUAAAUAUGAAUCAAAUAUUCUGCGAGUUCUCCACUCAAGUCAACAAUGAUUGACUCCCUACAUACCUAUACAUGCAUGUAAUAAGUUAAAGUAUGAAAUAUUUCUCAAUUAAUAUUUUAUAGUAUAUCUAUUUAUCAUUUUACCUCCCAUUACAAUACAUUAUUAUACUAAAAAAGUGUAACUGUAAAUUUAUAUAUUUAUUAAACGUAGCGACAAAAAUCUUUGUAUAUAUGUUGUUACUGUAGCAUAUGCAAUUUUAGAGUUGGAAUUGACGUAGGUAUUUUAUAAUAGCAGAUGUGCAGUUUUUUUUUGUGAGAAUAGAGAUCUGCAAUAUAUACAAAAACAACAUUUCAAUAAAAAAGAAACUAAAUAUAUAAGAGUUUUUGAUUAUGUAGUUUAUGUUAGUAGCAGAUUUAAUUUAGCGAGUAAAAUAGUGAAUGAGAUUUUGUAUUAUAAUAUUUGAUGAGUAUUCAAAUUCAAAAUCUAUAAUAGAUAGAAUUUAUUUUUCAGAAUUAUCAAUGACUAAAAUGCAUUUAAAAUAGAUAUUUUUUCUGUUACAGUUUUUUGGCAUAGUAAUGUAUUUAAAUUACGUAAUAUUUUUUGGCAUUGUACUGAAUUAAGACAUUGAUUUUUUAUAAAAUAUUUAACUAAAAAUUUUAACUAUAUGAUAAUAUUUUUAUAAUGAAUUAUUUAACUAAACUAUGAUAUUUUGGCAUACCAAUGAAUUGUAUCGUUUUGGGAAUAGUAAUGAAUUAUUUAACUAAAUUUAAAUAUUCUGAAAGAUAUAUAUAUAUAUAUAUUAUUUUUAUACACUUUAUUUUAUCACAAAUUAAUAAAUUGAUAAAAAAAAUACGUUAGCAAGCUAGCAAUUCAGAUCCUUCAAAUCGAGUAUCAUCCAUAAAAUUUAGGUCUGAUGUUCCAUGUAUUAGUCAGAAUACAUGAUUUGUAUUUCAUCGAGCAUUCAGAGAUAACAAUCAAAUAACACCAAUUAGUUAUGUCAAUUAAAUACAAAUGCUAUAAUGUAUACAGAAAUUCAGAGAUAGUCAACCUACAUAUAUAAUUGAUUCACUUCACUUGACAUAAAUACAAUCUUUCUAAAAAAAAUAUAAUAUAUACGUCUUUUAUAAAAAAUAUAAAUAGAUUUCGUUUCUACACUUCAUUUGAUUAACAAUUAAAUAAAAUAAAGACGUCUUUAAUAGAGAAGUAUACUAAUUAUAUUGUUGCUACUUAUAUAUGUUACCUAAAUGAAUAAGAGAUCAAAUUAAUAAAUUAAAAUCAUGGAUUAUAAUUUACAUACUGAUAUUUUAAACCGUAUUGAAAUUUAAAAUUUGCAACGACUGUCAUGUACUUAACUGAAUCUGAAUGUUUCCUAAAUCUAGGGGAUACGCUAUACCUAAAUUUACAUGAUACAUUUUAGUUGUUUAGCAUUGAAUGAGUAACUAUAUAUUUUAAUAUUACCAAAAGAAAUUGAUUAAUCAUACUUGUUAAUUAUUCCAUCCAACUUAAAAAUCGAAUAAAUUAAGGAAGCAUAAUAGCAGAUGCGAAUUUUUUUUAUGAUAUUAUGAUUUACAGUGAGAUUAGAGAUUUGCAACAAAUAUAAAGACAAUAUUUUAACAAAAAAGAAAGUAAAUGAAUAAGAGUUUUUGAAUUAUGUAGUUAAUGUUAGUAACAGAUUUAAUUUAGCGAGUAAAAUUGAGAAUGAGAUUUUGUAUUAAGAUGUUUGAUGAGUAUUGAAAUUCAAAUUUUGUAACCGAUAGAAUUUAUUUUACAUAAUUAUUAAUGUCUAAAAUGUAUUUAUAAUAGAUAUUUUUUGUUACAAUUUUUUGGCAUAAUAAUGUAUUGUAAUCUAUGUGAUAUAUUUUGGCAGAGUAAUGCAUUAAGACAUCGAUUUUCUAGAAAAUAUUUAAUUAAAAAAUUUAACUAACUUAUAAUAUUUUAAAAUGAGUUAUUUAACUAAAUUAUAAUAUUUUGACAUACGAAUGAAUUAUAUCGUUUUGGGAAUAUUAAUGAAUUAUUUAACUAAAUUUAAAUAUUUUAAAAAUGAAUUAUUUUAAAUAUAUAUUAUUUUUAUACACUUUAUUUUAUCACAAAUAAAUAAAUAAAUAAUACAUAAAGAAGCUAGCAAUUCAGAUCCUUAAGAUCGAUUUUAGGUCUGUUGUUCCAUGUAUUAGUCAGAAUACAGGGUUUGUAUUUCAUCAAGCAUUCAGAGAUGACAAUUAAAUAACACCAGAGUAUGUCAAUUAAAUAUAAAUGCCAUAAUGUAUGCAUAAAUUAAGGGAUAGUCAACAUAGAUAUAUAAUUGAUUCACUUCACUUGACUUAAAUAUAAUCUUUCUAAGAAAAUAUAUAAUAUAUAUGUCUUUUAUUAUAAAUAUAUCUAGAUUUCGUUUAUACACUUCAUUUGAUUAAGAGUUAAAUAAAAUAAAGACGUCUUUAACAGAGAAGUAAACUAAUUACAUCAUUGUUGCUUAUAUAUGUUACCUCAAUGAAUAAGAGAUUAAAUCAAUAAAUUAAAAUCACGGAUUAUAAUGAUAUUUCCAUCUGCAUUGAAAUUUGAAAUUUGCAACGGAUACACUAUACUUAAAAUGUUUCCUAAAUCUAAGGGAUACGUUAUACUUAAAUUUACAUGGAAACACAUAUUCUUUUCAUUAUUGUCAUUGUAUUUGUACUCAAGUCCUUUAUGUUCUUAUAAGUUUUUAUAAAAAUAUUAUAAAAUACAAAUUAUGAAAAUUUUAUUAUCUCUUUCAAAAACAAUAGAUAAAAAAUCUAAAAACCCGUCAAUGGUUAAUUUAAAUAGAUCAUGUGAUCAAAACUAUAACUUACUCCCGAGACAAUGCAUGAGCCAAAUGAGAACUUGCAAUAUAAAAUUUAUGACUAAAACAACUACUUCUCAAUGAACUUGAGUGACUAAAAGUACUAACUUGCGAAAUUAUAUAUUCUCAAGAUAUUAAACAAAGACUACACCAAUGUAAAUAGGGAGACAAUUACAUUGACAUCAUUUUGUUAGACUUCCCCAUCUCACGUGAUACUUCCUCAAUGUUAACUGCAUUGCUAGCCUCAUCGUCUACAUUUCUCACUCCCGUCUGACCAUUUCAGAUCCCUUUACUACUUCCUUUGUAUUGAGAAUCUGGCUGAUGAGCUUUACCAAAGUUUCACACACCAAAUAGUCUCCGCGUCAACUCCUUUGAAUAUCUGCUGCUCAAAUCAAUAAUUAGUUGUUUCAAAGGACUUUGAGAUUGUUAAAAGAGCACCCAAACUUUCGUAAUUCCUUUCUAGAUGCUUGUAGACAACUGACAACUAUCUAAGCAAUUGUAUCAUACAUACACAUAAGUUAUACAUACAUAUGUAAAUUCUAAUGAUUGAUAUUAAAUUCCAAUAAAUGAUUUCAUUUGUUAUAUAAUCAAUCUAAAUAAGUAUUAAUAAAAUUUUUCACAAACUUGCACAGAAAAGGCUGAGAUUCAAUUUACCAAGUGAGACAACAAUAUAUCAUUCUCCUUUUAUUGACAACGCUAAAAUUUGUAUCAGAUGAAUCUGUAUAGCCAGAUUGGUGUGUUGCUAAUCAGAGGAACUGAGCGGCCAGACAAAUGGUCAUUUAAGUAUUUUAUAUACACAUACACAAAAAUUAAUAAUUAGUGUCAAUUAAAUGAUAAAUAUGAUAAUCACGCCAGUAAAACAUAUGAUAACACCAAAAAUCAGUUGAAUGUAGUAGGAAAUACGAUGCCUUUAGGUUAUUUGAGUCCCACAACUUGUCUCAGCCAUGCUUUCUUCAUUGUAAUGUAGUUUCCUCGGCCUUUGAUAGCUACAAAUUGUAAAAAGAGAUUCCAUUAACAUUCACAUCCAUAUAUCUUGUAAAUUAAAAACAUGUUUGAAAUUUUAAAAGAAUUGCUUACAGAUAUAGAAAAAAGAAUGAAAAUCUCAAACUAUAAAGUCAAAAAAGAAAAAGAAAAAGGAAAACAAAGAUGAAUACAAACAAUCAAAGAUAUAAGCAUGUAGUCUUGAUAACGGUUAUAUAUAUACCCACUCUCUACCAAAUAUAUAGAUAUAUAGACAUAUACAUAUAAAUAGAUAUGAAAUCAAUCAAACAAAUUACCAUAAAUAAAAUCAUUGUUUUGAAUCUUGUCAUACUAUUGUUCAACGAAAGCUAUAAUCAAGGAAAUUUGAAUAUCAAAUUGAAGAGAGACAACCAAUAUGAUUUCAAUUUUGCAAUACUUACUUUGAAUUCAAAUUUUUAGAUGGUAAUGGAAAGAAACAAAUGAAAUUCACUCGCUUCCCAUUCUGAAGCACCAAUCAUGCAUAUAAUCAAGCAGACCUACAUAUGCCUUCUAAAUUGCUUACAAUUUCUGAUCCAAAAAAGAUAUUAUUCUUCAAACAAAAUUAAAAAAAAUUCAAACCAAUUAAAUAUUUAAAAAACACCGAUUAUGCAGCUGAUUGAGCAUGCUUAAAUAUCAACUAAAUGCUGCUUCACACACCUUACCAUUACGACGCUAUGUUACUGCUCUGAUAUAUAAAUUUGAACUAAUUUUAUAUUUAUUUUAAAAUAAAAAAUUAGAGAGUAAAACAUAUAUAAUGACGUAUCUCAAAUUUUUUAUAUAUAAGAAUUACUUUAUUAAAAUUGAAAAAAAAUAAAAUAAUGAAGAAAACAAUAACACAUAAAUGAAUUUAACAACACAAUAGUCGUAUCAUAAUUUUUUAAAGUAUAACAUAUUUAAUGGUGCAUCAAUACCUUAUUCUUUUUUGUAUAAUCUUAUGAAAAUAUUUUAACACUACUUUAUUUUUAAAUAUUUUAAGAAAAGACGAUUAGCAGUUUAAGAGGUAGUAAUCACUAUUCCAACAUAUUGAAUUUUUAAUGCAGUAUCAUACAAAAAAUCUUGUAAGUGCUUAGGAAGUCUUUCCAUGUUUAAUUCGAAAUAGAUAAUAAGCUAACAAUUACAAUUAAAAAUAGGUUAAUAUACAAAAUAUACAUGUAGUUGUGAAUAAAUUAAAUGUAUAAAGAUAAGAAAAAUAUUGUUUGAAAUUUUUUAAAUACAUUUUAAUUUUAAAUAUUUUAAGAAAAGGCAAUCAGCAAUUUGAGAGAUAAUUAUAUUUUUAAAUUUUUAAUUUUUCAUGCAACAUCGUACAAUAAAGUCUUGAGAGCGCUUAAGAAGUCUUCCCAUAAAUGGUAAGAUGAAUUUGAAUUUUUAAAAUAAAUAAUAAGAAUUGAUUUGAUUUUGAAUUUAGAAAUAAUUAAUGAUGAUUAGUUUCAUAUCUUGGAGAGUAUUUGAGAAGUCUUUUCAUUCAUAAAUUAGAGAUAGAGGAAGUCAAUAACUACAUUUAAAAAAUAUGCUAAAAAUUAGGAAGGAAAUGAUUUUUAUUUAAGACAAUUAAAAUGAAAAGUAAGAAUGCAUGCAUAAUUUGUGGGACUUUCUAAAACUUGACUUAUAUAAAUCAGUUGAUUAGAUGGCGCUUCUUAUUUGACAUAAUUAAAAUAUGUGGUUUUAUGACGUGUCAUUUUACGAAUUACGUUUAUUUUUAAAUAUACAAAAUAUACAUGUAGUUGUGAAUAAAUUAAAUGUAUAAAGAUAAGAAAAUUAUUGUUUGAAAUUUUUUUACAUAAAUUUUAAUUUUAAAUAUUUUAAGAAAAGGCGAUCAGCAAUUUAAGAGAUAAUUAUAUAUUUAAAUUUUUAAUUUUUCAUCCAACAUCGUACAAUAAAAUCUUUAUUUUUAAAUAUACAAAAUAUACAUGUAGUUGUGAAUAAAUUAAAUGUAUAAAGAUAAGAAAAUUAUUGUUUGAAAUUUUUUUACAUAAAUUUUAAUUUUAAAUAUUUUAAGAAAAGGCAAUCAGCAAUUUAAGAGAUAAUUAUAUAUUUAAAUUUUUAAUUUUUCAUCCAACAUCGUACAAUAAAAUCUUCAGAGUGCUUAGGAAGUCUUCCCAUAAAUGGUAAGAUGAAUUUGAAAUUUUAAAAUAAAUGAUAAGAAUUGAUUUGAUUUCGAAUUUAGAAAUAAUUAAUGAUGAUUAGUUUCAUAUCUUGGAGAGUACUUAAAAAGUCUUUUCUUCAUAAAUUAGAGAUAGAGGAAGUCAAUAACUACAUUUAAAAAAAUAUGCUAAAAAUUAGGAAGGAAUGAUUUUUAUUUAAGACAAUUAAAAUUAAAAGCAAGAAUGCUUGCAUAAUUUGUGGGACUGUCUAAAACUUGACUUAUAUAAAUCAGUUGAUUAGAUGGUGCUGGUGAUGUCAACGCUGACAUAUUAAUAUGGUGGUUUUCAAAAAGAUGUGGUGAUUUUCAAAAAGAUGUCAUAUUAAAGAUGUCUUUAAUAGAGAAUUAAACUGAUAAUCAGAGCUGACAAUCAACGCUGAUUUGAUAAUUAAGACAAAUAAAAUCAAAAGUAAGAAUUCAUGCAUGAUUUGUGGGACUGUUUGAAACUUAACAUUUAUUAAUCAGUUGAUUAGAUGGCACUGCUGAUGUGGCAUUAAAAAAUACGUGGCUUUAUGACGUGUCAUUUAACGAAUUACGUGGACUUUGUGACUGGGCAUCGUUCAGGAAUUAUGAUAUAAUAGAUUAUUAUAUUCAUGAAUUUUAAUCGGAACAUUUAUUUAAGCUUAGACAGAUGAUCCGUAAUUGUUUUUUUUUUUUUUACCAUAAUAGUAAGAGGUGGGCAAGAGGCCAAGUCGUUUCCCUUGACCCUAGACUUUUAAGCAGCUCCUCACGCUGUAUCAAUUACAAUCUCAAGUCUCCGUCCAUGAAUCCAAUCUCGCUCAAUUAUAUUGUAAGUACUCAAAUCCAUAUUUAUUGACAUGGGCUAUGUGUAUUUCUUGUUCAAACCGAUGUUAAUUGUGCUGUAAGAGUUCUUGUCUUGUUGUAGAUCGAUGUUAAUUGUUAUGAUGGUGUGUCUUAUGUUUGUUUUAAAUUCAGAUUUGAUGUGAUUGUUUUUAAUUGUGAAGAUGGAUCAACUGAUCUUGCUCUGAUGCAGAUCGAUGGUAAUUCUUAUGUUGUUGUGUUAAUUCUUAUGUUGUUUUGGUUCUUUGAAUUGUGUCUUGGCCUUAAUCUGUGUAUCUAUAUCUCUUUUCCAUUGAAUUUGGAGAAGCAGUUAUGUUUCUUGCGAUUGUGUUUUUUCUUGUUUGUUGUUUUUCGUGUGCGUCUCUGUAUGUAUAUAUCAACAUGUAUAUCUAACUGUAAAUAAUAAAAUCAAUUUCCUGUAAUAAAAAGACCAUAGCAUUCCAGAUUGAAAGUUUUCUUUUUCAAGUUUUCUAGGUUUGCUGCUGUUUGACUGUUCCUUGAUUUGGUUCACUUUUCCGGCAGUAGUUGAAGUUUCAAGCAAGUCAAGGCUUUGUGGAGAAAGAUUAAAGCUUUUUGGAGAUAGAUCAAAGUUUAUAAGAACAACAAAAAGAUCAAAGCUUCCGAGAAGAAGAAAAAUAUCGGAUCUUUUAAGAGUAAGUUCAAAGUUUAUAAGAAAACGCAAAAGGUCAAAGCUUUCAAGAAAAAUAAAAGCAAUCUUUUGUUAUUGGUUUGUCUUGGUUAUGCAUGUCUUGCAGUUGAACAUCUUUAUGAUGGACGUUUUUUCUGUGUUUGAUGUUGUUUGAUUAUGUUCCUUGUUUUAUUUCUUGGAUUUACGAUUUCAGAAUUCUUUAGUUGAAGUUUUCAUUCUCUGAUAUUUCGCUGAAUCAUAUAUGUAAGUGUAACAGAAAGAAAAUUAAAGCUUUGUAAGGGAAGAAAAAGAUCAGAGCUUUUUAGAAGAAGGGCAAAAAAAUCAAAGCUUAUAAGAAGAAAAAGUUUUAAGCUUUUAAGAAGAAGAAAAAUUUUGGAGCUUUCUAGAGAAAAGAAAGGAUCAUAGCAUUUAAAAUAAAUUUAAGAUUAAGUUUUUUUGACUUUUGUGUUCAACUCUCCUCCUAGAUAUGUUUGUUCAAUUUACUGUUUAAUAUUAAGCCUUUAGUUGAAGUUGUUAUCUUUAUUAAUUGGUUGACUCAUAUAUGUAACUGUAAAAGAAAGAAAACGGAAUUUUCAUAGAAAAACGUCGAAUCUUUUAGGAAGAAGAAAAAGAUCAAGCUCCCCAGAAAAGGGAAACAAAGUCAGAGCUUCCAGGAAAAGGAAAACGAUCAAGUUGUGUUCGUAUUAAAUCAUGCUGAAUUGUAUUUAAGAACUAGAAACAUGUGAGGUAACUCAAAUACUCGAUAGAUAUGCAUGUGUUCAGACUUCAGACACAUGAAUUAUAAUCUUUUAUUUUAUGAUAAAAUUUAAAUUUGGAGAAGCGGUUAUGUUUCUUACAAUAUCUUUGUGUCCUUUAUAAUUGCUUCGAUUCAUCACUCUGUUUUAUGUCGUCUGGAUGUCAAGUGGUCAGUGAGUCUUUUGUUCCAUUUUCUAUAUGAUUACUGCAUUCUAGUACUCUGUUUUUUUGUUGGAUUGUAUGUGCUGUGCUGGAUUAUGCAGUAAUUUUUUUACUGAAAACUUGUUUGUAUGUAUAUGUUAUGUACAUCUAGCUUCUAAUGGAUGAACAAUUAAUCUUUCGAUACAAAAUAUCAUAGCAUUCAAAAGAAAAAAAAAAAGAUUCAAAUUUUUGUUAGGCUGGACUCUGUUCCUUAAUUUGUUUCUUGGAUUAACUAGGUCUGCAACGAUAUAUGAAAACAUUAUUAGAAAGUAGAAAAAGGUCAAAGCUUUUAACAAGAAGAGAUUCAAGCCAUACUUUAAUUUAUGAUCGAAUCAUGUCAAAGCUUUUAAUAUGUAGAAAAGGAAAAAAAUCAAAGUCUUUUCAGGACUAAAUUUCAUGUCAAAUUAUAUACAAGUACUAGAAACACAGGCUAAAACUGAAUCUAAGUACAAAGAAUGAACCGAAAUAUUAAAUUAGUUAGCAGGUACUCUUCUCAUGCAUAGAUGUUAAAUUAUUAUGUUGGUUUUGUGGUUUUUUUCUUGGCCAUGCUAGUCUUGUAGUCGAAUUUGUUUAUAUCCUUUUUAGUCCUCAUUUUAUUACUAUCAUGUCUGUUGUCAUGUAUAUGAUUACAUGUUUGUGUUUGAUCUUAUUCUCAGUCCUCAUACACACACACACCACACACACACACACACACACAUACACUUCUGUGUUUGCGUGUGUGUCUAAUCAUAUUUUUUAUGCUGUCACAGGAGAGUUCACUGAAAGAAUUCCAGGAUUUCUGAGAGGAGAUUUGCGCCCAAUCUGCUAGUAAGCACUCUUCCUUUUCAAAAACCAAGGUUAACUUUCUGCUUUCUCAGGGUUUUAUACUAAAAAAAAUGAUUCGGGUGUUCUUCGUCUAGUGGUAUGUAUAGUUAAAAUUAUGUAUUUAUAUGAUCGCAUAUGAAGAUGAGCAAAGAUUUUAAUUGCUACAUAAAGCUGAUUUAAUGGACACAGUAACUUGGGCUAAAUCUGAUAUUCAUGCUCAAUUUGCUAGCAAGUACAGUAUUCUUUCCUUUUCACAGAUUGUAGUUUAACUUUACUUUUGGUUUUUUACUUGUAAUUAUAUUUGUAAAAUUUCAGUUGAAAAUCAUUCUGUGUAUGCCCUUUAUGCUGUUGAAAUUCUUUGUGUUCCUUAUAAAGCUUUCAACCAGAAGAUUUGAGCUUUCAAGAAGAAAAGAUUAAAGCUUUUGUCCUUGAAAUUCUUUGCUCAAAAGAGUUGAUUACUUGUAUAGAAUUAUAUAAAAUAAUCUGACCGGUAUUCAGUCUAAUCUCAUAUAAAUUUAUGCUGUAAAUAGACCCCGAUAGUUGUUCUUUUUGUGUGUUUGGAGCAAAAUACCGUCUCUUGCCAAAUUUGUCAGAUUAAAUUACAAGAGAGUUUAAGCAAGUUCAGAAAUAGAAAAUGAUGUGCUAGACAACCCAGACCAAGAGACUUUAACCAGUUUCAAUAAAACAACGAGAUAUGUGCUAGACAACCCUGGCCAAAGUAAAUGCAAGUACAGUUAUCACUGAAAGUCACACUCUAUAGCACCCUGGCAAAAAUUUCAGGUUUUGAGAUGGAAUAAUACAUCCAACCAGUGGUUUGCGUCAGCCUUCCUCUCCCCACUUCAAUUAAGUUUUUUCUGAUAUGUUUUAUCAAUUGUUUUUUUUUUGACUUUUUGUGUUUGGAAAAAUUCUGUUAUCUUCCUAUUUAUUAGUUGAAAUUGCAUGUGUUCUUAAUCAUUCAUUUUAUCUAUUAUUGGUCGUUUUGAAUUUUUCAGUGAUGGUUGGGACUGCACAGGCUGACAAAACGAGGCAAAGUGGUUCCAAUCCAAACAUGCAAUCUAUGCUCAAUCAUAAUCUGUUGAUCUUCCCAUUUUAUACCAUGCCAAACUGUAUGGAGACGAUGACAAAAGCUAAAAGCUAACGACUGUUUGCCAGUUUGCCAGCAAGUACUCCUGCUCUUUCACAAACUAAGGUUAGUCUUGUGUUGACCGUGAUGUUCAUAGUAUUUAGUUAUUAUCUUUUAGGUUUUUGAUUUGAAACUGAUCUGGGUAUGGCUGUCAAGUAGGUGAAAUUGUUCAUGUAAACUGUUUAUUGUUAUCUGUGAUGCGUUACUGCAAUUUGAAACUGAUCUGGGUAUGGCAUGUCAUGGUGGACAUCAUGUAUCCUUUGUAGUGCAUCUUGAUCUCGUGUGUAUAGUGUAUACUUAAUUAUUAAAGAACAUCAAAUCUUUGAAGAAGUAAAGUUUAAAGCUUUCUUAGGAAUGUGCUAAACUGUACUGAAGAACCGGAAAAAAUGACAUAAGUGUCAUCAUUAUAUAUAUUCAUCUUACAAACUCGAAAAUGGUAGAUAUAAGAGAUAACAAACCUGAACCCAUUUGUCUCGCUAAUUGAGGUUAUGUCCUAUUAUCAAACACUAAACGCUUAUGAAUUCUGUUAAGUAUAAAAGAGUACUGAACAUCAACACUAAACUCUUAUGAAUUCUGUAAAGUAUGAAAGAGUAAUGAACCUGGUAGGCUGUUACAGUAAAUGAUCCUGUACAAGCGCUUUAGCAGAAUCACAUAUAUCUCUACAAAUGAUAGGCAUACAUAACAUAAAGUUGCUCAGCAUGAAUUAGAUUUUUUUUCAUGGACCAUUCAUUAUGAAGAAACAUAAUUCAAUAGUAGAAAAUCUAUUACUCAUGGAUUCAUCAGGUACUUCCAAGUCAGGUAUGAUUGUUAUGACCUGGAGUAUCCAGUCUGAUAGAUCUGACUUGGAGUAUACAAUCUAAUCUCAUAUAAAUCUAGGCUGUAACCCUGACGGUUAAUUUGUGUUGAGCAAAAUACACACUCUUGCCAAUAUGUCAGAUGUCGUUACAAGAGAGUAUGAACAAUUUCAAGAUAUUUGUUAGACAACCCUCUGAAUAGUUAUGUGCUAGACAACUGUAUAGUGGAAAAUAGAAAAUGAAAUUUACACAAAAGUCACACAACUGUACUGCAACCCCCUGAAUCCUGGACUACUUGUGCUCCAUUCCCAACCUUCAAAUCAUAAUACCUGAAUAAUAUGAUGCAACAAAUUAAUAUAUCUCCCGCUAGACAAAGAAAAAAAGUGCAUGCAUAGCAUGUAAAAAAAUGCAUGCAUAAGCUAUUGUAGAGGCACAAGCAGUAUAUGUAAUGCUGAAAUCACAUCUCAAGUGCUGUAAUGCAAUGCAAAACCAGCACUGAAUUUUUAUGUUUAACAAAAACUCUGUAACCAAGCUUAAUCAGUAAAAUAGUAAAAGUGCUCAGUAAGUUAGUUGCAGUAACUUUUUAUUGAAACGGUGUCGUGAGGAGGAAAAGACAUGAAUAUCAGCAUGGGAUCCUGUGUAUAACGGACUGAAAGGACAGCGUAUAAGAUGGCGACACGUGGCGUGUUGGUGGGUUAAAUAGGAGACCAGGCAGCAGAGUAGAGUAUGCGCGAAGAGAAUCAUUUUACUGGCUGUUUGUUAUUUUCUGUAUUGUCUUUCCUUCCGUUGUUUCCUAUAUCUCUGUAGCUAAACCUUUCAUUUUAAUGGAGUUUUAAGCUGUUUUCCUCUUUAUUUUCAUUGUUAUUACUGGCUGUUGGUUACAAGUGGUAUCAGGCCAGACGUUCCUUGGCUUGCAUUCACGCAUCUAAAUGGCCGAAGGGACAAGAAUCAGAGAUCUGGAUGCAAGGCUGGGUACUCAUGAGACUAAGCUGAAGGAGAUGAAUGAAGGCUUAACCCAGACUCGCACAGAGGUCACUCAACAACUCACAGAUAUGAAUACUCAAAUGGAUAAGCGUAUGGGUGGCAUUGAAUCUCGAAUGGAUCGUUUGGAUUCAAACUUCUUAGAGCUCAAACAACUUAUUCUGGGGUUACAAGUUCCACCUAACACCCCCACCGUCUCAACAGUAAGUGAGCCCAUACCUAUGCAAGGCUCUACGACGCAUCAAGAGGUAAAUCACCCUUCCUCUUCUUCGUUGUUCUUCCACGCUACUACACCUAAUACGGUAGCACACACUCAGUUUACUAUUCCACCAUUCAUGGGCCCCUUUCCCCGCUCACAAACACCAUUUACCAUCACCCAAACACCACCACACUUUGUCAACUCAACUCUCUCUACCACUAACCCAAUAUCAUAUACUACAGACUCUACAAGAAGCAAUUUACAACAGGUCUAGAUAAUUGUUUACCUUCGAGCCUAAUUCUUCAUUAUCGACUUGAUCAAUGCAUUAUCUUGAAAAAGAAAAAGAAAUUAGUGUCAGAUUUUUAUUUUGCUCGAAAUUGGAAUUUACAUAUUGAAAUUGAUAUUUAGAGUGCACCUUUUGCUUUCAUUUCCUUUUUCUGCUGUUUCUUUGCAGCUUUAUUCUUGUGCACUUCAAGCUGCUCCUCUUUCUUCUCGCUAUUUGUAGCAACAUGAGGAUCAUUGUCCUGUAUUGAAAAAACAUAAUUAACAUAAUUAAGAUCGGUAAAAAACGGAGGCCGUCUUAUAUAGUGCUGUGUUUAGUCCUCAUCAUAUUUAAUGGAGAAUGGACAAGAAAUCGGAAUUCAAGAAAGUCAACAAAGAGUUAAAAGUGGUGAUUCAAGAAAUGGUGUUAUCACUAUGCUUCAAGAUUCAGCAAGAAUUGGGGGUUCAACAACAAAGAGUUUGCAAAGACUUCAAUUACAACAGUGGUCAUUCAAGAAAUGGUGUUAUCACUAUGAUUCGAGAGAAUCUUGACCACUAUGAUGUUGGACCAGUGUAUUAGUAGUCUAACUAUUUAGUGCACUAACUGAUUUUAAUUGGACAACUCGUUGAAUGAUAGGUAGGGGUCUUCUAGCCCUAGGAGCACUCAUGAUUCUCAAAAAUUCACAGUUGUCUGCGAGAAUUCGUAUGCUAAUUUCACAAUUAAGAUGUGCAUAAACCUAAAACGAUCAUCAACAAACGUAGGAAAUCACAAAACAAACACAGAAGAAGCGAACACACAUAAUACCCAAAAACACACACACACACACACACACACACAGUGAUUGUAUCAAGAAAAGCAUACCAUGUGAGUCUGCAAUUGAGCCGCAGUUUCCCAAACAUUGCCGCAGUCGGGGCACACAUUGGGUUUCUUCGCAGUUGCAAUUUUGUGGUGGCAAGCCCGAUUAUGUUUGCUCAUUGCGGCCUGAGUGCCAAAGCUCAUCUUGUGAUCAAUACAAUAAAACUGUUUUCCUUUCGCCAUCGUUCAGUAAAUUCAAUUUCCAAUUAGUUGAUCUGAAUUUGACGAAGAUGAUUAUUGUGAAUGUAUGUUGAUGGGAUAUUUAUACUCGGCCUCACUAAUUGGGUUAUAAAAAGACGCUGGUAAAUAAUUUAGGGCUUUUCCCAAAAUUACUCAAACUUUAAAGAAUUUUUACAAACAUAUUAUAAUUUUUUUACAAUAAACUGCAAAAAUAUGGAGAUUUCAUUUGCAAUGCAACCACAAAUGCAAUAUUAAGAAAAUCUGUUAAAAAUUAUUUUUAAUUGCAUAAUAAGUUGAAAGGGGUUGCAAAUGAAGAAAAUGAGUACUCGUGCGGGAUCAAUACUAAUAUCACAAAAAUGACCAUGAAAUCAACUAAAGGUCUGUUUGGGAGUGUUGUUAAAAAUCUCAUAAAAAGAGUGUUGUAUAGAAAUGAGAUAGUUAUUUGGUUUUUGUUUUUUUUGGUAUUUACAUAUUGUAAGUUAUAAUAUAAAAAAUAAUGUUUGAUGAGUUUUGAUGGUAAAAUUUAUAACAAUUAGCUGCAAAAACUGAAAAAUAGUUUUUUUGCAAACGUAUGAGAGGACCUGUUUUUUCUAAAGCAGCUUUUGGGCUAAAAGCUGCUAUUCAGAAUACCUCUUUUCAGAUUUACCAAACAGUUUUUCACUUGUUUUUCAGCCAAACAACACUUCACUUGUUUUGUUAUUUGUUUUGUUAUUGCUGUUUCCAACCACAAAACCAAACAAUACCUAAAAACGAAUCAUUAAAUCCACCGUUAUCAACCAUUUAAUUGUAGUUUAUGUUUUGAGAUUUAACUUAAUAAGUUGAAAAAUAAGUGGAAAGCUGUUUUAUAGAUCUAAAAAUAGAGUUCCAGAGAAAAUGUAAAGAAAUCAUAUAUAUAUGGGUUUCAAAGGUUGAGAUUGAAACUUUUUUUUAAAAAUAUCCGCUAUAAUUUUCCGCGGAUAGAAACUUUUCUUUUCCGCGGAAAACGGGCAUAUUCCAAAAGAACUCAACUUUAAAUAUAUAUAGCAGCCAACAUUACUAAGGAUUACAUCAUGCCUUUGCCAAAAGCUACUGUAUUAUGCUAAACAACAAACUCCUAUUAUCAAGUCUACACCAGACUCAGUUGCUUCCUAUCAAGUGUCUCAUCAUAUAUAAUGACAACUGAAGGUUUUUUCAAGAUUUAUUUUCCAACUGCUGCCUUGAUGCGAGGAAAAUGCUCAGACCAGCGUGAAUAUCCUGAAAUGACAAUCUCAUAGAGAUCAACUUCCUCAUAGAACACAUCCUCACUACUAGCAGUCAUACUUCUCUUGAAGAGUUGACAGAGACCAGCCAACUUGCCAUCAUCAAAGCCUGGAUGUUGUCGAAGAGCAUCCUCCGAUGUGAAGUCUAGAAUUAAUGAAGAGAUAGUUGCAGCCAUCAUAACAACAGAGUGGUGACUACUAUUCUCCGACCAGUAAACCAAAGUUGCCAAGAGUUCAACUACGUCAGCACCAUCAAAGGAAAUAGGGACUUCUACUUUCUUUAACAGAAUGUUCAUAAGUGUAUCAUAUGCCAGAUAUACCAAACUACCAUCCUUUGCUUUCUCGCCAUUAAGACUAAUCAGCUUAAUGAGGCAACUUACAACAGCUUUUUGCGCUCCAGAAAAAGGUACAACACGACCAGUGGCGGAACCAGAGGGGGGCUAGGGGGUGCUAGAGCCCCCCUAACCUCGAAAAAACAAUGUAUAUUUUUUUUUCAGCCCCCGCUGAAUUAGUGUGAUGUCAGUAUAAUUUUUUUUAGUCCCCGCUGAAUUAUAAAUGUCAUAGAGAAGUAUUUUAUACAAACUCCUUAAUCUUUCUCUAAAAUUAAUAUAAACAAUCAACUCUUAACUAUUUAAGAAGCUGUAAAUUACACAAUAUCUCCAACAAUAUUCCCUACAUGCGCUCUCUAUCUAUAUCUGCUAGGAGUUUGUUGGACUUCAUUUCAUCUCCAUAUUCUUCACAUUUAGGCUAAAGAGCCCAUAUGAAGAAUCUUUUGGACAUGCUCUCAUAAGUCAUACGCACACAUUGACACUACCCUAACUCAGUGGAGUUCUUUUGGUGAAAGUUUUCUUCGCAAUUAUAAAUGAUUUGUCAUAAGCUUUACAACAAAGAACUCGAAAUAUUAUAAAUACUAUGACAAUGGUUCGAAGUAUGAAAAUUAAAUUGCAGAUAUUAAGAGAAAAAGAAUGGGAGGACAUUUUUAGAAGAUGUUCAGUGAUACUGUUAUAAAACUUGUUUACUGAUAAGUGGUAUUUAUACACACUUAUAGGCCUUCAUUUCCACUUAAAUUGGUUGAUUGUACUUAAGUGUGUAGUGUCUUUUGAUGUGUUUUUAUUGUUUUUCUGUGCAGGUCACGAGUUGAGGUGAUGAAGUGAUUUUCUAUCAUUUUAGGUUGGUUUUGGUGCAUUCUGUGCGAGAAUAGAGAAUUGUGGAUUCACCGAGACUUGGGAUUUUGUGGGUAUAUCUUCUACAAACCCUCACGAGUAGGGGUGUGCACGGGUCGGUUCGGUUCGGUUUUUACCAAAAAGUGUUACCAAACCGUGUAUGUCGGUUCGGUUCGGUUUCUAGGUAUUAACCGUAACCGAACCGUUCGGAACGGUUUUUCUCGGUUCGGUUAACCGUUUGUCGGUUUCGGUUUUUUUCGGUUUUCAAAUUUAAUAGUUUAUUCUCUUAAAUAUCAUGCUAAUAAAAAAUUAUAAAUAUCAUAUUAACAUCGAUAAAAAUUAUAAAUAUCAUAUUAACAGUGCAAAAAUUAAUUAAAGGCAGUGAACAUAUUGAUAUUAAAUCAUUAAAAGGAUGACAAGAUUGAACAAACUUUUUUCUUGUAAAACUUGAAAACUCAGGACACAGGGACUAGACUACAUUUUUUGUUACCACACAUUAGCUUUGUUACCACACAUUGGCAAAUGGUGACAAUAAUCGGGUAAAACCUGACCUNNNNNNNNNNNNNNNNNNNNNNNNNNNNNNNNNNNNNNNNNNNNNNNNNNNNNNNNNNNNNNNNNNNNNNNNNNNNNNNNNNNNNNNNNNNNNNNNNNNNNNNNNNNNNNNNNNNNNNNNNNNNNNNNNNNNNNNNNNNNNNNNNNNNNNNNNNNNNNNNNNNNNNNNNNNNNNNNNNNNNNNNNNNNNNNNNNNNNNNNNNNNNNNNNNNNNNNNNNNNNNNNNNNNNNNNNNNNNNNNNNNNNNNNNNNNNNNNNNNNNNNNNNNNNNNNNNNNNNNNNNNNNNNNNNNNNNNNNNNNNNNNNNNNNNNNNNNNNNNNNNNNNNNNNNNNNNNNNNNNNNNNNNNNNNNNNNNNNNNNNNNNNNNNNNNNNNNNNNNNNNNNNNNNNNNNNNNNNNNNNNNNNNNNNNNNNNNNNNNNNNNNNNNNNNNNNNNNNNNNNNNNNNNNNNNNNNNNNNNNNNNNNNNNNNNNNNNNNNNNNNNNNNNNNNNNNNNNNNNNNNNNNNNNNNNNNNNNNNNNNNNNNNNNNNNNNNNNNNNNNNNNNNNNNNNNNNNNNNNNNNNNNNNNNNNNNNNNNNNNNNNNNNNNNNNNNNNNNNNNNNNNNNNNNNNNNNNNNNNNNNNNNNNNNNNNNNNNNNNNNNNNNNNNNNNNNNNNNNNNNNNNNNNNNNNNNNNNNNNNNNNNNNNNNNNNNNNNNNNNNNNNNNNNNNNNNNNNNNNNNNNNNNNNNNNNNNNNNNNNNNNNNNNNNNNNNNNNNNNNNNNNNNNNNNNNNNNNNNNNNNNNNNNNNNNNNNNNNNNNNNNNNNNNNNNNNNNNNNNNNNNNNNNNNNNNNNNNNNNNNNNNNNNNNNNNNNNNNNNNNNNNNNNNNNNNNNNNNNNNNNNNNNNNNNNNNNNNNNNNNNNNNNNNNNNNNNNNNNNNNNNNNNNNNNNNNNNNNNNNNNNNNNNNNNNNNNNNNNNNNNNNNNNNNNNNNNNNNNNNNNNNNNNNNNNNNNNNNNNNNNNNNNNNNNNNNNNNNNNNNNNNNNNNNNNNNNNNNNNNNNNNNNNNNNNNNNNNNNNNNNNNNNNNNNNNNNNNNNNNNNNNNNNNNNNNNNNNNNNNNNNNNNNNNNNNNNNNNNNNNNNNNNNNNNNNNNNNNNNNNNNNNNNNNNNNNNNNNNNNNNNNNNNNNNNNNNNNNNNNNNNNNNNNNNNNNNNNNNNNNNNNNNNNNNNNNNNNNNNNNNNNNNUUCUGAACAAUGACAGAACCUGAAGCACAACCAGACAGUAAGGCAUUGAAGGAUUUCUCUAUGCCAAAGAUCGAUGAUAUCCAAUCAAGCAUCGUCAGGCCUGCAAUCACAGCCAAAGCCUUUGAAAUUAAACCAGGAACUAUUCAAAUGGUCCAGAACUCGGUACAGUAUGGGGGUUCUCCUACGGAAGACCCCAAUAUGCAUAUACGGAAUUUUAUAGAGAUCUGUGACACUUUCAAAUUUAAUGACGUCUCUGAUGAAGCUGUAAAGCUAAGACUUUCCCAUUUCACUGAGAGAUAAGGCUAAGGGAUGGUUACAUUCUUUACCAUCUGGUUCUAUUACUACAUGGGAAGAUCUAGCUCAGAAAUUUCUCACUAAAUUCUUCCCCAUGGCAAAGACUGCUGCACUACGAAAUGCUCUAUCUCAAUUCUCUCAACAAUCAGGAGAAACAUUCUGUGAAGCCUGGGAGCGAUAUAAGGAGAUGCUAAGGAAGUGUCCCCAUCAUGGCAUGCCGGAUUGGAUGCAAAUAAACUGUUUCUAUAAUGGUCUUGGACCUCAAUCCAGACCUAUGCUUGAUGCUGCUUCUGGAGGUGCGCUAUGGGCUAAAAGUUAUGAAGAAGCUUAUGAUCUUAUUGAAAUGAUGGCUGCUAAUGAAUAUCAGAACCCUACUCAAAGACUUACUCAAGGGAAAGUAGCCGGAAUUCUUGAUCUUGACACGUCUACAGCUAUAGCAGCUCAACUUAAAGCUCUCACGAUGAAAGUCGACUCUCUGGCUCACCAAGGAAUUCAACAGCCAAUCAUUAUUUGCGAAUUAUGUGCUGGUACUCAUGCUACUGAUCAGUGUGCCAUUUCUAGUGAAUCAGCACAAUUUGUGAGCAACUUUCAGAGAGGUCAACAGCCUGCUCCAGCUACUUAUCAUCCUAACAACAGAAAUCAUCCGAAUUUCAGCUGGAGUAAUAAUCAGGGUUAUAAUCAGCCCCAACAAGGAUUUCAACAGGGACCUAAACAAUAUAGUCAGGCCGGAAAUUCUCAACAGUAUGCACCUAAACAGCCAUAUCACCCUCCGGGAUUUCCGACCCAUGGGCAAGCAACUAACGAAAGGUCUGACAUGGAAGAGCUAAGACUCAUGUACAAGAGUCAGGCAGUAACGUUAAAAGCCUUGGAGACACAAGUCGGCCAGUUAGCUAAUGCCUUACUAAGCAGACCACAGGGGAAUCUCCCUAGUGAUACAGAGGUACCAGGAAAGAGGGACCCUAAAGAGCAAGUCCAAUCCAUUACGCUGAGAUCUGGAAAAACUACAACAGGGCCUACCUCAACAUUAGUCCAAGAUCAGGGUGAUGAACUGCAAGAAAUUCCAGCAGAAGUUCCUGCAAAUACAAGUGGCACCAACCCUACUGUUGAAAAGGAUAAGACUAUUCCUGCAGCUGCUCCGAUGUCAAAACCAGUAUAUCCACCACCUCCAUUUCCUAGGAGGUUAAAAAAACAGCAGCUGGAUAAACAAUUUGGUAAAUUCCUUGAAGUAUUCAAAAAGCUUCACAUCAACAUUCCAUUUGCGGAAGCACUCGAGCAAAUGCCUAGUUAUGCCAAGUUCAUGAAGGGUAUUCUUUCAAAAAAGCUAAAGCUUGAAGAGUUAGAGACCGUGGCUUUAACGGAGGAAUGUAGUGCUGUACUUCAACAGAAAUUACCACCUAAGCUUAAGGAUCCGGGAAGCUUUACUAUUCCUUGCACUAUUGGGAAGUUCUCUUUUGAUAAGUGUCUGUGCGACUUGGGAGCUAGCAUCAAUCUUAUGCCUCUAUCUAUCUUCACACAACUUGGCCUGCCAGAGCUCAAGCCAACAAAUAUGUCUUUACAGCUGGCUGAUCGUUCGAUCACAUAUCCGAGGGGUAUAAUUGAAGAUGUGCUAGUCAAGGUUGAUCAAUUAAUAUUUCCAGCCGACUUCGUGAUUCUUGAUUUUGAAGAAGACAAAAAGAUUCCUAUCAUCUUGGGUAGACCAUUCUUAGCCACAGGGCAAACAUUGAUCGAUGUCCAAAAAGGUGAACUUACUAUGAGAAUACAAAAUCAGACGGUCACGUUCAAUGUAUUCAAUGCAAUGAAAUUACCAACCGAUGAGGAAUCUUGUUUCAGUAUGGAUGUAAUUGAUACUACAGCAGAAGCUAAGAGCAAGCGGAUUUUACAGGAUGAUGCAUUGGAAGCGAUCCUUACAAAUGAUGAGGAAUGGGGCAGUGAAGAAGAAUUGGAAGAAAUCCAUCAUCUUAACUCAUCACCUUGGCGAAGGAAUUUUGAACCACCUGUCGAAUCCCUUGGCUUGGAGGAACAAAAAGAGGAUCACAAACCACUACAACCAUCAGUAAUCGAAGCACCUAAACUCGAACUUAAACCACUACCGGAUCACUUAAGGUAUGCAUUUCUUGGUGAAAGUUCUACUCUUCCUGUUAUUAUUGCAUCUAACUUGUCAGGUGAGGAAGAGGAAAAACUAUUGAGAGUGCUAAGGGAAUUCAAAACAGCAAUUGGGUGGACUAUAGCUGAUAUCAAGGGAAUCAGUCCAUCAUUCUGUCAACACAAAAUUCUCAUUGAAGAAGGAAGCAAACCUUCAGUGGAACAACAAAGAAGGCUAAAUCCUAUCAUGAAGGAGGUGGUCAAGAAAGAGAUUCUUAAAUGGCUUGAUGCAGGUAUCAUAUAUCCAAUCUCAGAUAGCUCAUGGGUGAGUCCAGUACAAUGUGUGCCUAAGAAAGGAGGCAUGACAGUAGUAGCCAACGAAAAAGGGGAACUCAUCUCAACUAGAACUGUCACUGGUUGGAGGAUUUGCAUGGACUACAGAAAGCUGAAUAAAGCUACAAGGAAGGAUCACUUCCCUCUGCCUUUUAUUGAUCAGAUGCUUGACAGGUUGGCUGGUCAUGAAUUCUAUUGCCUGUUGGAUGGGUAUUCUGGCUAUAAUCAGAUUGCUAUUUCUCCGGAGGAUCAAGAAAAGACAACCUUUACAUGCCCUUAUGGUACAUUUGCAUUCCGAAGAGUACCUUUUGGCUUAUGCGGUGCACCAGCCACUUUUCAAAGGUGCAUGAUGGCUAUAUUCUCAGAGAUGAUCGGCAUCAAUGUGGAGGUAUUCAUGGACGACUUUUCUGUGUUUGGAACAUCUUAUGACGAAUGCCUCACGAAUCUGAGAAUGGUUCUUAAGCGAUGUGUGGAAACUAAUCUGAUUCUCAAUUGGGAAAAAUGUCAUUUCAUGGUGCAAGAAGGAAUCAUAUUGGGUCAUAAGGUAUCUGCCAAAGGACUGGAAGUUGAUAAAGCGAAAGUGGAAACAAUUAAAAAUCUUCCUCCACCACUCUCGGUCAAAGGAAUCCGAAGUUUCCUUGGUCAUGCAGGUUUCUAUCGAAGGUUCAUCAAGGAUUUCUCAAAAAUUUCUAAACCUCUUUGCAAUCUGUUAGAGAAAGACAUUCCAUUCAAAUUUGAUGAAGAGUGCUUGAAAGCAUUUGAAAUCUUGAAAAAGAAGUUGACAUCAGCACCUAUCAUCACUGCACCUGAUUGGAGUAAACCAUUCGAAUUGAUGUGUGAUGCCAGUGAUUAUGCUGUAGGAGCUGUACUAGGCCAGCGUACAAGUAAUGUGUUUCAUGUUAUCUAUUACGCCAGCAAAACAUUAAAUGAUGCACAAUUGAACUACACUACUACAGAAAAAGAACUUCUAGCCAUUGUCUUUAGCUUUGAGAAGUUCAGGUCUUACCUUCUUGGAACAAAGGUAGUGGUAUAUACUGAUCAUGCAGCCAUUCGAUAUCUCAUCACAAAGAAAGAUUCUAAACCAAGACUAAUUCGCUGGGUUUUAUUGCUCCAAGAAUUUGAUGUGGAAAUUAAAGAUCGCAAGGGCACAGAAAAUCAGGUAGCGGAUCAUUUAUCCAGACUAGAAGAUCACAGCAAACAAACUAUAGACAACACUCUAAUCAAUGAAUUCUUCCCAGACGAACAGUUGUUUGGAGUUGAUACAGAAGAGCCAUGGUUCGCUGGCAUUGUAAAUUAUCUGGUGAGUAAAAUCAUUCCUCCAUAAUUCUCUUAUGCUCAACGCAAGAAAUUCCUUCACGAUGUGAAAUGGUAUAUUUGGGAUGAACCCUUUUUAUUUAAACAAGGAGUAGAUCAAAUUCUCAGACGGUGUAUUCCGAAUAAUGAAGUUGAGGGAGUUUUGCGUGAGUGCCAUUCCACUGGUUAUGGAGGCCAUUACAGCGGAGAAAAGACAGCAAAGAGGGUACUUCAAGCAGGUUUUUACUGGCCAACUCUGUUUAAAGAUGCUCACCAGUUUGUAUUAGGUUGCGAUCGUUGUCAGCGUACAGGUAAUAUUUCUAGGAGGAAUGAAAUGCCUCUUAAAAUGCUUUUGGAGGUCGAAAUAUUUGAUGUUUGGGGAAUUGACUUUAUGGGACCGUUCGUUUCUUCUUGCAACAACCAGUAUAUUCUAUUAGCAGUCGAUUAUGUGUCUAAAUGGGUGGAAGUAAAAGCUUUACCUACAAAUGAUGCUAAGGUGGUCUUGCAAUUUCUUCAAAAACAAAUCUUUACCCGGUUCGGAGUCCCUAGGGUCAUUAUCAGUGAUGAAGGCUCUCACUUUUGCAAUCGGAAAUUCACAACCUUAAUGACGAGGUAUAAUAUCAAUCACCGGGUUGCUACUGCUUAUCAUCCUCAAACGAAUGGUCAAGCUGAAGUGUCUAAUAGAGAGAUCAAACGCAUAUUGGAGAAGGUGGUUAAUCCUUCUAGGAAGGACUGGUCCUUACGAUUAGAUGAGGCUGCUUGGGCUUAUCGAACAGCUUACAAAACACCAUUGGGUACUUCACCAUUUCAGUUAGUGUUUGGGAAGGCUUGUCACUUACCAGUGGAGUUGGAACAUAAAGCUUAUUGGGCACUAAAGAAAUUGAAUUUCGACUUACAGCUAGCUGGAGAAAAACGCAUGAUUCAACUCAAUGAGUUGGAGGAAUUCCGCCUCCGUGCUUAUGAAAAUAACAAACUCUACAAAGAAAAGGUGAAAAGAUUGCAUGAUCAGCGGCUGAUACAAAAAUCUUUUGUGGUUGGUCAAUUGGUUCUAUUGUAUAACUCUCGGUUGAAGCUGUUUCCAGGGAAACUCAAGUCACGCUGGUCAGGGCCAUUUACAGUCAAGACGGUAUUUCCCCACGGUGCGGUAGAAAUCUAUGCAAAAUCACCGGAUGAAUCAUUUAAGGUUAAUGGUCAAAGGUUGAAGCCUUACUUUGGCGGAAAUGUGAAUCGUGAGGUACAAACCACGAUUCUUCAAUCGGAAUCGGAUUAAUUCUGGACUUCACGUCGAGCUAACGACGUUAAACAAGCGCUUCGUGGGAGGCAACCCACGCAUUGGAACCACAUUGUACCAUUGUAAACCUCAAAAAACACAAAAAUCGAAAAAUUUCAGCCUCCGGUGUCAGACACUAGCGCGCCCGCGCUAGUGUCAGGCGCGACCGCGCUAAGUUGCACGGCGCGCCCGCGCUAUACUUAGCGCGGCCGCGCUACUGACUGCCGGACCGGCGGAUUUUUCCCCCAAAAAUAGUUUUUUUUUCGUUUUAAAAAGCCCACAAUCCUAAUUUUGCAUGCCUAGCCCGAAAUACAUCCCAUAAAACCCUAACUCAGCCCUCCAAUCUCUAUAUAAACACAAAACAUAUCUCCAAUUCCCAUUAUAAUUCUCUAAACCCUACCUAUAUAUACACAUCCAUACAUACAACCUUCAUUCAAUCUCUCCAACCCAAUACACACAAACCUCUUACAAAUCUAAUUCUCUACCAAUGGCACCCAAAAGAGCCCGAAGAUCACAAGGACCGAGCACCCGAGCCGCCGCAUCUAGCGAUUCUUCCUCGAUGGGCGAGGUUGAGUUUACCUCGGAUGGUGCGAGAAACGAGUUUCAACGGCUUAUGAAUAAGUCGUUAGUUAAGGAGAGGGGAUUCUUGCCCACGGCGGAAGAUGGUGAGCUCUUGAACAUGAUUCAAGAACGUGGUUGGGAAUCUUUUUGCGAGGCUCCGGAGGCGGUUCCCUUGGCUAUUGUUCGAGAAUUUUAUGCUAAUGCCAAGGAGAAUCGUGAUGGAUUCACGGUUGUUCGGGGAAUCCGGGUGGAUUACAGUGCGGAUGCAAUCCGUAGAGUCAUUGGGGGGCGUGCCAGGCGCCCUGAUGAAGAAGAUUGGGUGGUGGAGAGGAUUGGGCGUGCAAAACGCCGAUUUGAUGAUGAUCCGGUUGAUUUGGAGCGGCUAGUAUAUGAUAUGUGUGUGCCGGAUACACGUUGGAAGAUGACUGCACCGCCUUUGCCGGCACACGUUUCGUUUCCAGCAGCCGCGUUGAACCGGUAUGCAAAGGCGUGGAACGCCUUCAUAUGUGCCAACAUCAUGCCAUCGUCACAUGGGCAUGAGGUGAUAGUGGAGAGAGCGAUUCUGCUCUAUGGGAUCGUCUUGGGCAAGUAUAUUGACCUGGGACAUGUUAUUCAUCAGGGGAUUCUGAGGUUCUUGCGAGGAGGAACCACUGGUGCCAUUCCCCAUGGCACAAUUGUUACCAAGCUCUGUCGAUCGAGUGGUGUUCGUUGGCCAUCCAACGAGCAAUUACAGUUGCCGGCAACACCUAUUGAUCAUUCGGCGAUCAGUCGGAUGACAGAGUGGGAAGGAGGAGUUCCCCACCCUCGAGGCCUCGGAUACAUAUAUGAUGAGGUGCCAGGGGGACGGUCCAGCAUUGUGAGGAGGGAGCAGCCUAGAGCUCUGGAGCUGGUACUUCACAGACGGAGAGGAGCUCCGAACCGAUGGGAGAUGUUCAUUAUCGCCGACUAGCGAGACGGAUGGACACUAUGCAUGACAUCCACCAGAGGUUUGCAUUUGACUUGACACAAGCUCUUGGUAAUGCUUUCCAGGCACAGGGGGUCACAGUUCAGUGGCCAGUAUUCGGAGCAGGGAUGCAGUAUCCUCCACCUGAUUCACCUCCAGCAGAGGAGGGGGAGGACUCGGACUCCGAGUAGGUAUGUGGGUGCUCUAGCCUUUUUACCGCUUUCAAUGGGGACAUUGUAAUUUAAGUUUGGGGUGGUAAUCUAAGGAAGAGCAUAUUAUUAUGUAGUUUAUUAUUGCAUGUGUUAGUUAGUUCAUGUAGUUCACGUUUAUUUUAUGUUGAUUUGAUUAUUUCUCACGUUUUUUUAUUUUACUCACGUUUUUUUUAUUUCGCAUAGUAACUGUCAUAGUAGUAUCACGAGCAUUUGCAUGAAUUAUGAAGUUAAGCCAAGUUAAUUGCCUAUGAUGAGUUAUGUGCGUAGUUCUUGAUUAGUAAUUUCAAUUGCAAUGCUAGGUUAGUACUUGGAAAUUGCUUGUGUUGGAAAUUGUAAUUCACAUAUGUUCUUGAGAUUUUUAUUUUGCAUAGUAACUGUCAUAGUAGUAUCACGAGCAUUUGCAUGAAUUAUGAAGUUAAGCCAAGUUAAUUGCCUAUGAUGAGUUAUGUGCGUAGUUCUUGAUUAGUAAUUUCAAUUGCAAUGCUAGGUUAGUACUUGGAAAUUGCUUGUGUUGGAAAUUGUAAUUCACAUAUGUUCUUGAGAUAGGAUUUAGACGAAAUUCCAUGAAUUCUAGGAUUGAAUUGAACACCCUUCAGCUUAGGUCUGUAAAUCUUAAGUUUUGGGAACGUGAGGGGUAGUGACCCAACGCUCGCUACAUGGGUACUAGUGCAUAAAUCUUUAGGGAUCUCAACCAUUGCACGGUUAAAUAAACCACUAGAAUAGAGUGAAUAAUUGGUGUGUGAAGUCUUGUGGUGUUCGUAACGCAUUUACACUGCGAAGCGCUCUGACCUUAGACCGAGCAAUUAAUCACCAAUAGAAAGAGAAAAAAAAAUAAUAUAGUGAAUAAAAUAGAAGGGUGUGGACAUUCUUUGGGACCUUGGCUUUUAGUUGGACUUGAGUGACGGGGUGUUAGUUUUAAACUUUUACGAUAAGUCUUGUGGUGUUCGUAACGCAUUUACACUGCGAAGCGCUCUGACCUUAGACCGAGCAAUUAAUCACCAAUAAAAAAAAAAAAGAAAAAAAAGAAAAAAAAUAAUAUAGUGAAUAAAAUAGAAGGGUGUGGACAUUCUUUGGGACCUUGGCUUUUAGUUGGACUUGAGUGACGGGGUGUUAGUUUUAAACUUUUACGAUUCUUGAUUGGGAUUCUGUGGGAGUAGUAGUUUUUGUCUUGUCUCAAUAAAAGAGCAUGCUUGCACACACUGGCACUCCACACUUGUAAAUAGAAGAGUAAUUGACUUAGUAGCGAGAGAGAUGAAAUUCGAGAACAUUAGCACAAUCUGAGGUAUUAUAAUUGGCAAGGCAAUUACUUCAUAGUUCACUCAUUCAUCACGUAGUUGCAUUCAUGCAUUGCAUUGUAUUAUUGUAUAGUGUCGUUGACGCUUGAGGACAAGCAUCAGUUUAAGUUUGGGGGUGUGAUAAGUGGUAUUUAUACACACUUAUAGGCCUUCAUUUCCACUUAAAUUGGUUGGUUGUACUUAAGUGUUUAGUGUCUUUUGAUGUGUUUUUAGUGUUUUUCUGUGCAGGUCACGAGUUGAGGUGAUGAAGUGAUUUUCUAUCAUUUUAGGUUGUUUUUGGUGCAUUAUUUGCAAGAAUAGAGAAUUGUGGAUUCAUCACGACUUGGGAUUUUGUGGGUACAUCUUCUACAAACCCUCACGAGAACACACUCGUCCACUAGAGCUAUCUAGGGGUUUAAAGGGCUUGUUGCAUGUGCUAAAUGCAACCGUGAUCACCUACGGAAGUGGUACUAGAGCGAGGAAGGACAUGCACGCGAGAACGAGCGAGAAACGAAGAAACAGGGCUGCCAUGACAGACAGUAGCGCGCCCGCGCUACUUGUUAGCGCGCCCGCGCUACCUUCUGCUGCCACUAGCGCGCCUGCGCUAGUUUAGCGCGGCCGCGCCCAGCAGAAGUGCCCCGGGCCGAUUUUUACAGCUUUUCUGACGGAUUUUCGCAGCGGUCGAGGCCCGGUUGACUUGGUCAAUGUAAUUUAAUUUCUCGUGUGUAAAACCCUAGCCUCGUAGAAGUAGUUUUUAGUAGAGAACAAUAUCGUAGUUUCAGUUUAAUCAUUCAAGCACAUUAUCAGUUUGUAUUAGAUCGUUCUUCGCGAGGAAGUGACAGUUUCGAGCGAGAUCGUGAACAUCAAAUCUGUAACGUGUGAUCUUUAUUAUUAAUUCAAGCAUUUUUAUUCCGUUUAAUUCUUGUCUUUUAUUUAUCAUGUUUUCAUUAGAACCCAUGAUGUCGAUUAGUUCGAUUAUGAACUAACCGCCUUCAUGGGAUUCUAAUGGAUUUAUCGAUGUAGUCUAGUAACGAUUAUAAUUACGUGAUUUUGUGACAUAUGUUGAUUGCUUUGCAUGAGCCGUACUUAUUCUUCUUAGAAGCGUAGCUAACUUCUAAGUUGUUUGUUAAUUCUUUCUGAAGCGAGAGUGGAUGAUUGAAUUUAGAACUAUGCCAUGUAAACAUAGGAUUAUGUGAAUGAAACAUAAUUUGUGGUAGACUUGAACUAUUUUUAUCACCCUGUGUAAUCACGAUAGAUGACUUGCUAUUAAACCUCUCUGCUUACACUACCGCUAUAGAGAUAUAGGGUCUGAGCUUUGUUGGUGUCCAUGAGAUUUCUGUCUUAAUUGCGGAUUUUGAUUGGUAUGAUAUGUGUGCAACGAGAGUUGGCAUGUAUUACUUUCGUGUUGUCUGAUUAGGAUCAACAGUCACAUGUUAAUCAGUAAUUUCAAUUCUAGAUGAAUUCGAUAAUGAAGUUAGAAUCCCAUGUGUUUUCCUAUUCUGAAUUUGAUUAGUAAUUUUAGUUAUUAGUAUAAAAGAAACCAUCCUUGUUAAUUGUCUUGGCAGUGAAAAUUGAUCAUACAUUGUUGCAUAGGUGCGUAUUCUUAAUUCACCAGUCUCUGUGGGAUCGAACUUAAUAUAUUACUUGUGAUCACGUGCGCUUGCGUGUAGAUUUCACCGAACAUUUACUAAUUAUUACCUUUUUAUUUAACAGUUUAUUGAUCUUAUUUUCCAAGAGAUAGAUAACCGUUUUACAGAAGUAAACAUAGAGCUACUACUUUAUAUUUGCUCUUUGGAUCUUAGGAAUUAAUUUUCUGCCUUGCACAAUUUUAUCCAAAUGAUAUCUCUUUACUACAACUGGAGUUGUUAUCAAAUGAGUUAGACAAGUUUAUCUAUGAUGUGUGAGCGGAUAAAGAUUAAUCUGGACUUCAAAGUAUAGGAAAUUUUUCUGUCAUGACGGUUAAGACACACAGACACACUGCUUAUCUCUUAGUUUAUCUUCUGGUUGAGUUAGCUAUAGUUUUACCCGUUGUCAUUGCUAUUGUUGAGAAAGUUUUUUCUGCUAUAAAACAAUCAAGACUUAUUAGCGUGAUAGGAUGUGACAUGCAUGACUGAAUGAUAGUAUGAUGAUAUAUAACGAGUAAGCUAUUUAUGCAAGUAUAGAUGAAAAAAUAUUUCAGCCCCCCCUAACUUUUACUCCUGGUUCCGCCACUGAACACGACAUCCAUCCACUUCCAUUGUUAUCUGACACAACAUAGGAAGCAAAAAACAGAUAGACUGGAAAGGACUUUGCUCAUCUUCCCCUUCAAUCGAAAGCAUAAAAUCCAAAAGUCAUGUUACCUUAUCCUUGCAUGCAUCAGGGGUUUUUGCAAGAUAACUCCCAAUAACCCGCACUGAAGCAAGGAGAUCAUCUCGUUGUCUUUGUCCAUGAACCUUCGCUUCUUGUAUAUACUCAAGGAUGACCCCAGUCGUCUCAUUAAGCCCAUUUAUGAUCUUAAUAAAAGUACUUUCGUUAAUAACACCACCUUCAUCUUCAGCAACCCCUGCAAUCAUUUUCACAAUAAUUUCCACCAAUGAAAACGCGACACAAAGAUUCCUUUCCUUCGAAACAACAUUAUUGUCAGCCAAAGAACUCUCUGAAGCUUCAAACUUCAACUAAGCCAAGUCAUUAAGAAGAACAGCAAACUCAAUCCUAGACGACUCCAAAACAAGCAACACACACCUAUCCCCCGGCACAACAGCCUCUUACACACCAGGCAAAUUCAUCGGACCGAAAAACCAUUCCUUACCAACUAUACCCACAACAGCCUCCGCCACAAUAAGCGCGUGAAGCUUCUCCGCAGGCGCCACACAAUUCUGCAAAAUACGAAUUGAAUACCCUCGGAUUUCAUAAACGAAAAAAAAAAAAUCCUUCAAAAUCCCCACUGAAGACACCCCUGAAUGUCAGCAACUCAGCAAAUUCAUCCUUGUACUUGGCAAUCAUCUCAGUAUCAACACAUCAUUUCAACUGGAGCACCAAUUUGCCUGACCCGAUGAACAUCUUUUGCAGAUGUGUAUUUGUUUGUUCACGAUUUCACCGAUCUCAUUAAAUCCAGCUUUUGUAGCUGCAGCUACCUGACCUUGGAGGUCUGAUAAACACUGCCUGUUAAAGGUUCUGAUAGGCACAACCUGCAAAGGACAUAGAUAUUAUAUUUUAUAGACUCCGGUUCCCCCUAAUAUGGUAACCCAAUAUGAACAGCAAAAAUAGAUAAAUUGAAUCGGUUGAUAUUUAUAUAUAGCUCAAAAUAACUGCUUUACACCACAGUUGCAACAUCAUUCCCAGAAGCACUAUGUAUAAUAAGCAGUACCAUCUCCAGCUGCAAACAGAAGCAUGACAAGUCACAGCAGCAAAAUAGAUCCAUCAGCGAAGACAUAUAUCAUAUCAACAAACUUUUUUCAGUAUGAUCAAUGAUUUUUUUUUUUUAUAAUCUGGUUAUCAAGUUCAAUAAAUUCAGAAUCAACAGAAUUCAUGAAAACAGUCAUCAAGUCUUGUCAACUAAAACACAGAUCACUGUCUCCCGUCUGCAUUAAUAAUCUAGUUUACAGUCCAGUAAAUAUAAUUAAAGUUCAUAUACAAUUCAACAUUUCGCUCCUGAUGUUAUAAGGCAUUAUAAAGGAUUAGUUAUAUGCAUUUAUAAGUUGUAUGGAAUUUGAUGUCAGGGCUGAAGCUGAGUCUUUUUAGAAUAAGUUGAGAACAACAAUUAAGAGAACUUGUGAAACUACAAUAUUAAAACUUAAUGUAUGAAGAACAGCCAUAUCCUUCCCCAAGAAACUAUUUAGUGUGACAAAUGAAAAUAAAUAAAUUAAUUAAAAUAACAACUAUUAUAUAGAAUGAAAGACGAUAUAGUAUUCCGCCUCCCUACGCAAAUUGCAGAUCUACAAAACAGGUGCCUGUCAGAUGUACCAAAGAGGAGGGGAGACAGGAUGGUAUGAUUUUCCUUGAAAAUGAGGUUCAAUUGUGUGAUGCUCCAUGCUGAAAAUACCCAUAUCAUGGCCGCCUCCUUUAUGGUAGUAGGGUUCCUUGUUGUCGUCCGUAAAAUAGAUACAGUUUGGCUUUAUAAUUUCUGACGAUGAUACAGCUGUGGAUGAAGCAUUGCCGACAAAAAUUGACUCGUUCCCCAAGUCAUUCUCUUGUUUCAAAGAACAUGAAAUAUCUUUAAAAGAAUCAGAAUAAUUCAAAUCCAACCUCCACACGGAGAAAUGAGUAGUGCGGUACUUGAACCGCAAUCUCUUAUGGUAGCGCACAAGUAGCAGAAGACCAGAUCCUGAUGUUGGUUCAACUAAGUACUUCUUUUCCCAAUCUUUACUUUCAAGCCAUGCAAUUUCUCUUCCCCUGAUGUGUCGUCCCUCUUCAUCACCAUCACAACCACACACAAAUAUAUUCCCAUGGCAGUUUACUGCAUAAACAUUUCCUUUGUGGUAAACAAUAUCACUGAAGUUGAACGCUGGAACGCACACAUCUGUCCAAACUUUGUCUCCCAAUCUAGCAAACCCUAAUUUAUAAUAGUCCCCAUAUAUAGCCAUUACAUAUGGUGAAGGGCAAGCAUGGCGAGGAUAUAAUCCUAAAGCUGAAUUUAUGUUGAGUACACUGGAAUAUACAACAACUUUUGAAAGAAACAUGUCGGAGUAAUUUUCAGGCCCAUAGUCUUCAUCGUAGGGCAUUUGCAGAGGAAAGGUAAGCAUGGGUGGAAGCGAGAUUUGGUAGUUUAAGAGAGGAUACAAAAGGUUUAUUUGCAGAUCCCUCCCUAGAGUUACUAGCCACCCUUUAUUGGUCCCCACUAUUAGUCUUCCAGCAGCUUCCGGCAAAUCAAUAUAGUACGUUUUUCCCGUCAAAAGACUGUAGAAACCACGACGACUACCGACUGAAAUUUUAUUAUGAUCAUAUUCAUCUUCCUCGGUAUCAUCUACUUUGUCAUUGUCUUCAUCAUCACCAUUAUUGUCUUCUUCGUGAUUAUCAUCACCAUCACCACUGCCAUCAUCAUCAUCACUGCUAUCUUCUUCUUCAUCAUCACCACCACUAACAUCACUGUCGCCUUCAUCAUCACCACUAUCAUCGUCAUCAUCGUUAUUAUCUUCUACUUCACUAUAAUCUUGACUAGGGUCAUAUUCAAGCAUAGCUCCUGGAGCAACAUCUUCCGCAAGAAGAAGGAACGGAUAUUCGGUGAGGGGAAGACAGGGCUUCUUGAAAUGACUAAGUGAAUCCCUCCAUGAUCUGCAGACAGCAAUGAAUCUGUAAUAGUCACGGAGAUAACUAAACUUCCCCACGAUAAGCUCAAGAAUAUCAGCGGGAAGAUUACUCCAAUAAUCAUAAUCAUCACAAUAAUCUUCUUUUUCUACAACAUCACUAGGUAUAGCUCCACGAGUUAGACAAUCACCAAGCAACCGAAAGCUUUGCGUAAUAAAGCUACAACCUGGCUCCAUAUCCUGUCGCAUACAUAUAUAUAAAAAAUCAAAUCUUUUAGGUUGCAAGUAAAGUGAGAGUAAAGAGAGUAUCAAGAAUAUAAACAAUAUUAAUUCUGAACUGUAAGAUAAUUUCCCCGCAAUAAUAUAAAGAAUAUUAAUCAUCACCACUGCCUUGUUUCUCGACAACAUGACUAUAGUCUUUGUUAAAUUCAGCGUCACAAUCACCAAGUAGACAUAACUAAAUUAGGAUUACAUAAAUUGCAAACAUAACUUAAACAAUCAGCCAACCAUACAAAAACUUUGCACAAUUAACAUAAAAGUCCGAUUAACCCCAACAUAAACAAUAUUAAUUUGGAACUGUAAGAUAACUUGGGGUAAAUCCUUAAUUCGAUCACACACGGAAACAGAAGCAUUAAUAAUUGGUGCAAGGAACACAAUUUUUUUUUUAAACAUGGAUAGAAUACCUCUCACUUUCUUGCACAAGCAGGAGCUCUAUCUCUCGCUGAUGAGGAAGAAGGUGCCACCAAAAAUCUCUCUCUCGCUGAUCUCUCUUUUCUCCUUUGAAAUAAAAUUUUACUAAUGGAUGAAUCUGUCAAAAGAUAUAUAUAGGGACAUAAAGGUAUAAAUCCUAAUACUAAUCUGAUUAUUAAUCUUAAUAAUUAUUUAAAAAUUUCUGUUCAAUAUUUUAUUAUAAUCCAUCUAAUUAAACUCUUUUUUUCAUAAUUUAAUUAGAACUCAACUAAUCAAAGUCUUUUUUUCAUAAUCUAAUUAGAAGUCAACUAGUCAGUCUUCUUUUCAUUAUUUAAUUAGAACUUACCUAAUUAGUUAAUUAUAGAAUUUCAAACUUAAUCGAUUUAGUUUAGUUGAGUCACAAUUAAUUAACAUUAUAAAUAUAUUUGAAUUAUAUAAUUAAUAGAAAUUCAUUAUUUUGUUAUUUUAAUACUCGAGUUUAUCAUCUAUUACUGCGAUGCACAAAAACUGUCAAUUUCGUCAUUCUUAUGUUUUAGCCUGAAUAUGCAAACAAAGGAAACUGUAUGAAAAAGGUAAAAAAGACUAGCAUUCGAUUCAAAGGAUAAAAGAUUGAUCUUCACAAACAAGCAUAUACCAAAAAACUCGUAAAAAGAGUGUUGUGUAGAUUUCAAAUAGUUGUUUGUUUGUUUUUGUUUUUUUGGUAUUUACAUAUUGUAAGUUAUAAUAUAAAAAAUAAUGUUUGAUGAGUUUUGAUAGUAAAAUUUAUGACAAUUAGCCGCAAAAAUUGAAAAACACUUUUUCUUGCAAAGGACAUGUUUUUUUCUAAAAGCAGCUUUUGGGCUAAAAGCUGCUGUUCAGAAAACCUGUUUUCAGAUUUACCAAACAGUUUUUCACUUGUUUUUCAGCAAAAAACUGCUGUUUCCAAUCACAAUACCAAACAGUACCCAAAAACCAAUCAUUAAAUCCACCGUUAUCAACAAUUUAAUUGUAGUUUAUAUUUUGAGAUUUAAAUUGAUAAGUUGAAAAAUAAGUUGAAAGCUGUUAUAUAUAUAUAUAUAUAUUUUUCCUGCCCCAUCCCCGCCCCAUUCCCGCGGGGAUUUAUUUUUAAUCCCCAUCCCUGCCCCACCGGGAAUUUAAUAUAAUUUCGUCCCGCCUCGCCCCACUGCUAUAAUAUUAUACUAAUAAUUACUUUAAAAUCUAAUAAUUUUUUCUUCAGAAUUUAAUUAAAAUAUACGAGACAUGUAUAUUAAAAGCAAAAAACUAAAUAUAUUAGAAAUCAAAAAGACAUGUUAUAAUUGUAAAAUUAUAGUUUUGUGUAUUAUAAAAUAAUAAUAUUAAAUAUAAUAAAUAAAUUAUAUUAAAUAUAAUUAUUUAUUUAUAUUAAAUAUAUGUGGGGCGGGGCGGGGAAUCCCCACGGAGAUUCAACAAAUACCAUACUUGCCCCAUAUUUUGACGGGGCAGAAAAUCAUUCCCCGUCACUACCCCAUUCCCCGUAUUAGCGGGGCGGAUCUGCCCCAUUCAGGGCGGGUUGGUGCUAUUCCACAACAAACCAAGCUACCAUACAAACCUAAAAGCCACUAUCUCCACUCUCAUUUUUGCUAUGAGCACUCCAAUUUAUUUUAUUUUUUUAAUUUUCAGGGGGUCCACGCUGACGUGGCAGCAGGCCUGCAGGUGACGUGGCAGGUCUGCUUAGGGGUGGCAAAAUCCGACACGACCCGAAACCCGAUACGAACCCGACUCGAAAAAAAACGAAUUAGGGUCGAGGUUUUUACAUUUCGGGUUGGGUUCGGGUCGGGUAAUUUUUUACCCGAAAAACUCGGGUCGGGUUCNCAAUUAUUAUAAAUAUAUAUUUAAUAAUUAUAAUUAAAAUAAUUAAUUUUUAAUAAAUUUCGGGUCAAAAUGGGUCAUUUUCGGGUCAAUCGGGUACUGAACAGGUCGGGUUCGGGUUGAGAUUUUUGACCCAUUUCGGGUUCGGGUCGGGUUCUUGUUGACCCAAAAACUGGACCAGGUAAGACAACCCGACCCAUUACCCGAAAUUGCCACCCCUAGGUCUGCUGCCACGACAUCUGCCACGUCAGCAGUGGGGACCCUCUAGUGCUGACGUGGCAGUGCCAUGUUAGUAGGUGCUGAUGUGGCAGAUGACGUGGCAGUGCCACGUCUGCAGUGGGGGACCCCGGACGUGGUAGAGUGACAUGGUAGGGGUGACGUGGACCCCAAUGCUGACGUGGCAGGGGGUAGAAAGUGUAAGUUUUUGGAAGUUGAUGGCAAAGUUAGGGGGGAUAUUGUGAGUUCUUAAAAGUUUGAGGAGAUAUUUGUUAACUUUGAAACUAGUUUUUUAGGUUUGUAUGAUAAGUGUAGUUUGUAUUUGAACAAAUGUGUAUAUAUAUAUAUAUAUAUAUAUAUAUAUAUAUAUAUAUAUAUAUAUAUUUGUGUGUGGUUGUUUGGGUGUUAUGUGUGUGUGUGUGUGUGUGUGUGUGUGUGUGUGUGUGUGUGUGUGUAUAUAUGUGUGUAUGUAUGUAUAUAUAUGAUGAAAAGUUGAAAAUUUCAUUAAAAAAAUCAAAUGGGCAUAUUUGUUAAUAAAAGUAACUUUGUAAUAAUAGUUUAUGCUAAAAAAUAGGUUACAAAUUAUUUGAUAUAUUUGCUAAAAAGCAGAUUGAAAAUUAUUUGAUAAAUAUAAAACCAGAAUGUAUCUGAAUAAUAAACUUUUAACUAGAAAGUAACGUUUAGGGGAUGCAGAUCGUCGUAUAAAACUGACGAAAAUGACCAAUGCAAGCAUAAGAGAAUAAGACAAUGCAUGUCAGUAUAUCAUUUAUUUGACUCAAAUGAAGUUAAAUAUCAAGUACGUGACUGACUACGUUCAAAAAAUUCAAGCAGGCCACUCACUGCAAAUUUGACUCAAAUGAGUCACUUAUUUGAAAAUUUUUAUUGAAAAUAUCAAUAUAAUUAGUCGAAAUUCAUAAAGUAUUAUAAAUUGAGUUUCACACAUUUUUUAUGAAUGAUAUUAUAUCCAAAUGAAAAAUUCAGAAUUCUAGUAUUUUAGAUAAUAUUGUUAUUUUUAAAAUUUUAUCAAUUAUUUAUUUUUAAUUUUUUGAUUGUUUAUUUGAUUUAAAUAAAAAUAAAUAGUAUAUCAAUUUUUAAAAAUCUAAAAAAUAUCAUCUAAAAUACUAGAACUCAUAAUCUUUCAUUUGAAUGUAAUACCGUUCAUAAAAAGAGUGCAAAACUCAAUAUAUAAUUCUUUAAGAAUUUCGGCUAACGAUAAAAUGAUAUUUUUGAUAAAAAAUUUCAUACGAGUGACUCAUUUGAGUUUGCAACGAGUGACCUUCUUGAUAUUUAACCCAAUUUUGAAAAAUAUUUGAAAACAUUCCAGCAUUAAAUAUCAGUCACAGAUUAAAAAUGGUUUGUGCAUGAAGACCCCGCUUUUAUGAACGAGAGUCGAGAGGAGUGAAAAAUAAUUGGACAAUUCUUGCGAAUCACUUUCUACAUGCCAACUCGAAAACAUAUCUACAUGUCAACUUGAAAACAUAAGAUCACAUCAGAUGUGAUAAAUAUAAAUACUGAUGAAUUGUAGUCAAAUCUAAAACUCGUAAUAAUACAGGUUUAGCUACAUUUUAAGGGUGAUAAAAAGGUAGCACAUUUUAGGAAUGAUAAAAAGGUUCCUCCUUCUAACUAGUAACUACCAUGAAUCUUUUAAAUGAUGCAAAAAAAGUUGCUAAAGGUAAAAUAUUUUAUUAUUCUUAUGUUUUAGCCUGAAUAUGCAAACAAAGGAAAGUGUAUGAAAAAGGUAAAAAACUAGACAUUCAAUUCAAAGCGACAAAAGAUUGAUCUUCGCAAACAAGCAUAUUCCAAAAAACUCAACUUUAAAUAUAUAGCAGCCAAUAUUACUAAGGAUUACAUCAUGCCUUUGCUAAAAGCUACUGUAUUAUGCUAAACAACAAACUCCUAUUAUCAAGUCUACACCAGACUCGGUUGCUUCCUAUCAAGUGUCUCAUCAUAUAUUUAAUCCAAGACUCCUCCUGGAUAAGAACUGGGACAACUGAAGGUUUUUUUUAGAUUUAUUUUCCAAUUGCUGCCUUGAUGCGAGGAAAACUCUUAGACCAGCGCGAAUAUCCUGAAAUGACAAUCUCAUAGAGAUCCGCUUCAGCUUCCUCAUAGAACACAUCCUCACUACUAGCAGUCAUACUUCUCUUCAAGAGUUGACAGAGACCAGCCAACUUGCCAUCAUCAAAGCCUGGAUGUUGUCGAAGAGCAUCCUCCAAUGUGAAGUCUAGAAUUAAUGAAGAGAUAGUUGCGGCCAUCAUAACAACAGAGUGGUGACUGCUAUUCUCCGACCAGUAAACCAAAGUUGCCAAGAGCUCAACUACGUCAGCGCCAUCAAAGGAAAUAGGGACUUCUUCUUUCUUUAACAGAACGUUCAUAAGUGUAUCAUAUGCCAGAUAUACCAAACUACCAUCCUUUGCUUUCUCACCAUUAAGACUAAUCAGCUUAAUGAGGCAACUUACAACAGCUUUUUGCGCUCCGGAAAAAGGUACAACACGACAUCCAUCAACUUCCAUUGUUAUCUGACACAACAUAGGAAGCAAAAAACAGAUAGACUGGAAAGGACUUUGCUUAUCUUCCCCUUCAAUCGAAAGCAUAAAAUCCAAAAGUGAUGUUACCUUAUCCUUGCAUGCAUCAGGGGUUUCUGCAAGAUAACUCCCAAGAAGCUGUACUGAAGCAAGGAGAUCAUCUCCUUUUUUUGUCCAUGAACCUUCGCAUCUUGUAUAUACUCAAGGAUGACCCCAGUCGUCUCAUUAAGCCCAUUUAUAAUUUUAAUAAAAGUACUUUCGUUAAUAACACCACCUUCAUCUUCAGCAACACCUGCAAUCAUUUUCACAAUAAUUUCCACCAAUGAAAGCGCGACACAAAGAUUCCUUUCCUUCGAAACAACAUUAUUGUCAGCCAAAGAACUCUCUGAAGCUUCAAACUUCAAAUAAGCCAAGUCAUUAAGAAGAACAGCAAUCUCAAUCCUAGACGACUCCAAAACAAGCAACACACAUCUAUCCCCCGGCACAACAGCCUCUUCCACACCAGGCAAAUUCAUUGGACCAAAAGAACAUUCCUUACCAACUAUACCCACAACAGCCUCCGCCACAAUAAGCGCGUGAAGCUUCUCCGCAGGCGCCACACAAUUCUGCAAAAUCCGAAUUGAAUACCCUCAGAUUUCAUAAAUGAAAAAAAUAACCUUCAAAAUCCCCAUUGAAUACAGCCCUGAAUGUCAGCAACUCGGCAAAUUCAUCCUUGUACUUGCCACUUGGCAAUCAUCUCAGUAUCAACACAUCAUUUCAACUGGAGCACCAAUUUGCCGGACCAGAUGAACAUCUAUUGCAGAUGUGUAUAUAUUUGUUCACGAUUUCACCGAUCUCAUUAAAACCAGCUUUUGUGGCUGCAGCUACCUGACCUUGGAGGUCUGAUGAACACUGACUGUUAAAGGUUCUGAUAGGCACAACCUGCAAAGGACAUAAAUAUUAUAUACUACAUAUAUAUUCUUAUAGACUCCGGUUCCCCCUAAUAUGGUAACCCAAUAUGAACAGCAAAAAUAGAAAAAUUGAAUCGGUUAAUAUUUAUAUCUAGCUCAAAAUAACUGCUUUACACCACAGUUGCAACAUCAUCCCCAGAAGCACUAUGUAUAAUAAGCAGUACCAUCUCUAGCUGCAAACAGAAGCAUGACAAGUCACAGCAGCAAAAUAGAUCCAUCAGCGAAGAAUAUAUCAUAUCAACAAACUUUUUUCAGUAUGUUCAGUGAUUUUUUUUAUCUGGUUAUCAUGUUCAAUAAAUUCAGAAUCAACAGAAUUCAUGAAGACAGACAUCAAGUCUUGUCAACUAAAACACAGAUCACUUUCUCCCGUCUGCAGUAAUAAUCUAGUUUACAGUCCCAUUAAUAUAAUUAAAGUUUAUAUAAAAUUCAACAUUUUGCUCCUGAUGUUAUAAGGCAUUAUAAAGAAUCAGUUAUGUGCAUUUAUAAAUUGUAUCGAAUUUGAUGUCAGGGCUGAGGCUGAGUCUUUUUAGCAUAAGUUAAGAACAACAAUCAAGAGAAUUUGUGAAACUACAAUAUUAAAACUUAAUGUAUGAAGAACAGCCAUAUCCUUCCCCAAGAAACUAUUUAGUGUGACAAAUGAAAAUAAAUAAAUUAAUUAAUUAAAAUAACAACUAUUAUACAGAAUGAAAGACGAUAUAGUAUUCCGCCUCACUACGCAAAUUGCAGAUCUACUAAACAAGUGCCUGUCAGAUGUACCAAAGAGGAGGGGAGACAGGAUGGUAUGAUUUUCCUUGAAAAUGAGGUUCAAUUGUGUGAUGCUCCAUGCUGAAAAUCCCCAUAUCAUGCCCGCCUCCUUCAUGGUAGUAGGGUUCCUUGUUGUCGUCCGUAAAAUAGAUACAGUUUGGCUUUAUAAUUUCUGACGAUG